RNAcentral lists this long non-coding RNA (55130 nucleotides) under Nicotiana tabacum (common tobacco). RNAcentral describes it as "long non-coding RNA (NTAB_LNC009899)". The stretch from base 306 to 389 matches the Rfam family "mir-156 microRNA precursor family". Lineage: Eukaryota; Viridiplantae; Streptophyta; Magnoliopsida; Solanales; Solanaceae. The record is from RNAcentral.
UAUAUUUGGGGGGAUAGACUACUUUAUGAAGAUACCACAUGAGUGGUUGGGGGAUAGACGCAUAAGGAAAGAGAUAAACACACAUUUAUUCCUUACAUGAUGCAACUGUCCAGUUCUCUUCCUAUAUAAAGGCCGUAAAACUCCCCAUCAUUUCUCACACAUCAAAUCAUAAAUCAAAAUCAUUAUUCUGAAAUAGUAGUUGCUAUUGUUUCAGAUCUAGGGUUUCUUAUUUCUUCUGUCGGCUGGAGUGAAUUGCAUCCCAAUUAAAAUCUAGGUUAACGACAUAAAGGGGUAAAUAAAGGGAGGUGACAGAAGAGAGUGAGCACACAUGGUAUUUUCUUGCAUAUGAUAUGCUUGAAGCUAUGCGUGCUCACUGCUCUAUCUGUCACCCCUAUCACUCUCUCUCUCUAGAUUUUCUUCUGUUCUAUGUAUGCACGCAUCUGUGUUCGUGAACAUAUGGUAUUAUUUGUAUGGUACUCGGGAGCGGACCUAGGGGCUGAAGGGGUUUAAUCGAAUACCCUUCUCGCCAAGGGAGGUGACAGAAGAGAGUGAGCACACAUGAUAUUUUCUUGCAUAUGAUAUGCUUGAAGCUAUGUGUGCUUACUGCUCUAUCUGUCACCCCCACCACUCUCUCUGUAGAUUUCUUUCUGUUUUAUGUAUAUAUGCGCAUGUAUGUUUAUGAAAAUAUGGUAUUAUUAGUACUCAGGAGCAGACCUAGGGGGUGAAGGAACUUCCGAGCAUCCUUUGUCAAAAAAUUACUCAAAUAAAAGGAGGUGACAGAAGAGAGUGAGCACAUAUGGUGUUUUCUUGCAUGAUAUGUUUAUCCCAUGCCUGAAGCUAUGCUUGCUCACUGCUCUAUCUGUCACCCCCAACACUCACUCUAUCUCUCUCUAGAUUUUUUUAUUUGUGUAUUCUAUGUAUGGAGCUAAUCAUACAUGGGUAUCUAUUGAGGUAAUUGUUUUUUCUUUUCAUGAUGUUGAUUCAUAUUAAUUGGAUCAGUGGACAAUGGAUUGAUAAUUUACAUAGUUUCCUUGUUUUAUUAUUUGUGUAUCUGUGUAUACCAUGGGCUGUUGGAUAGUGAAAUGCUUUGCAAAUUUGUGCAGCUUUUCUAUGUUUUUUUCCUCAUUGAUUCAUCUCGAAUCUCUCUGUUUUUCCUUAUACACCUGGGUUUUAGGAGUUUUUGGUGGCAGCUGGGGUUUGUUAGUGAAUAUUCUUUUGGUGAUAGGAAAAACCUAGUCGUUUACCCUUAAAACGGAUAAUAUAUGAAUUUAUACGUGGUUUCAAGGAUAUGUGGACUGAUUCAACACAAAUAAGAUAAUCAAAAAAGCUAGAUAAAUGAGUUAAAGACACGAUGAAUAAUCAAACCAGUCGUAAUGUUAUUGCCUAGCUUGACCUUGCAUUGGGUUGUGUCCUUGAUUCGGAGCCAGUCAAGAACAACGAACAAAAGUAAAGUAAAGACUUUGCAAUAGCUGGAAAGCAGAGAAAUGAGCUUGUAUUAUUUGAAAUAAAGGCUUCCCUUUUAUAUAGUAGGAGAGUUUCAUCUUUAGUAUAUUUCUAAAAAAAGGUAAAAAUCCUCCUUUCUCGUUAAUUACCAAUCUGUUAUCAAUAUUGGGCGAGAUCUGCGUCGUGAUAUCCGAUUGGGUGCGGAUAUCACGGCCCUUCAUUAGUUGUGUGCAACCAUUUGCCAUGUUUUCCGAGGUCUUGGAGCUCGUUCGGGAUCCGAGGAGUAUUGUCUUAUCAGGCCCGAUGGUAAGCAUUCCGUUUGGGCCUCAGUAUAAUAAGUUCCCAACUUCGAUUCCGAUCCCAUAUAUUCAUACCCUUGCUUCGUUUGACCCACCGAGAAAUCGAAGUGUGUUAGACCCGGUUUCACCCGUAUACACUAGGAAAAUUCUGUUUUUCAAGUUUAAAUGGAAUUCCAAUGUUUCUGCUGUUUUCUUUUUCCAGAAGAUUGAAUUGAUUGUCUAGCUAGUUUUUCACUUCAAGAAUUGAUGGUUUAGUAACUGAGACAUGUCUCAGUGUCUUCCAUAAUUAAUGAUCCAAGAAGAUACCAAUCAAUUCAAAUGUAAAGUUGAGAUCAUGAAGAUUUGCUGAUUUUCUUUUUAAGCAGUUAUAUUUGACUAAACUUGUCGAUGCCAAAAGGAAAAGAAACACGGUUUUAUCUCAACAAGAAGUGGUGGUUGAUGCAGACAUCUCUAGUUUUUUGUUUUUUAGCUUAAAAUAGUGGAGCUCUCUCUCUUUUUAUGCAUGCACCAACAGAAAUCAAAUUGUGGAUUAUCUUCUUUUUUCUAAUAACGGUAGUAUUCAAAUCAAUUUAUAUAUUCUAUCAGAUAUCACUAAGCAGUACAAAAAUAUCAGAUAAUUCUAUCUAUCAAGGCUUAAAUAAAUUUUUUUAAAAAUCAUCUUAGUUUUUAUCUUUGUUAGUCUUGAACGGUGAUCUGUUACUACACUUUUCACUCAUUUCAUUGGUUGUUGGCCACAUCCUAUUAUAGAUUAUGACAUCCAACAAUAAGCAAAUCCUCCUGACACUAAUCGUAAAUUCGAUUCAACAUGAAAAAUCAUCACUUGCUGUUGGAUUCCAGCUUCAGAUUAAUCCAUCAUUUUCAAGAUCCCCUCUUUGAUUGAUACAAAUUUUAGUUGGACAAAACUCAAUAGGAUUUUUGGUUAAUUUCCUAUCUUAUUAUACCCUUUUUCGUGCUUUGUCAUCUAGUACGUUUGUGUGUAUGUGCUUCAAUCCUUGUAAGUUUAUCUAAUUUUUAUGAAGUGACUGGACAUUAGUUCUAGCUAUCAUUAGUUAGCUUUAAUUUGUUUCAAUAAAGUUAAUUAUAUGUGUCUGCAUGACUUUUUCAUAAUUAUUCUCGAGAAACUCAUUUAGUUCAUACUUGAAAUAUAUUAAAUUAAGCACAUAAUAAUUAAGAUAUAUGAAUUCUAGCUUAUUUUUCCAAAACAUCUACCGGAUUGCUUUUGUCUUCUCGUGUAGGAACAUUUGAUCAAGAUUACAGUUUUCUGAACCAGAAACUAUGCUAGUGUUUGGACAUAGUUUGAGUUGAGACUUCAAAAGAGUUUUUUGUGAUAAAACAAUAAAAAGUUUGAGUUGAGACUUCAAAAGAGUUUUUUGUGAUAAAACAAUAAAAGUAGAAGAACAAUAUUACAGAGAAAGAGAGAGUAAUUCUUAUUGAAUUUUGGGAUUAUUUACAAUGGGAUAAGACCCCUCUAUUUAUAGGGGAAAAAUAACUUAGCCCCAAAGUCAAACUCUCUACAAGAUAGACAUUCACUCUAAAUAGAAUUCUAUUCAUAACACUCCCCCUUGAAUGUCUACUCGAUAAUUAAUGUGCCUCAUUAAAACCUUAACUAAAAUAAAACUCAAUGGGAAAAAAAUUCUAGAAAAGGAAAAAGAGUACACAUGUUUAAUAAUACGCCUUUUGGUUGCCAAACCUUGCAAGGGAAACCCAGUGGGACAAAACCUUGUAAGAAAAAAUGAGUGCAACGCGCAUUAACUCUCCCUGAUGAGAGCAUCAAUUCACAUCCUUGAGCCUUCGCAUCCCGAUUUUGUACACUAGUUUCUUGAAGGUUGACGUCGGUAGAGAUUUUGUGAACAAAUCAGCCAUAUUAUCACUUGAACGAAUCUGUUGUACAUUGAUAUCACCAUUCUUUUGAAGAUCAUGUGUGAAAAAUAACUUCGGUGAAAUGUGCUUUGUUCUAUCUCCUUUUAUGAAUCCUCCCUUCAAUUGAGCUAUGCAUGCUGCAUUAUCUUCAUACAAAAUUGUGGGUAAGUUGUCACAUUUCAAACCACAUUUGUCUCGAAUGAUGUAUUAUAGACCCCAACCACACACACUCUCGACUUGCUUCAUGAAUAACAAUUAUCUCAGCAUGAUUAGAUGAAGUAGCCACAAUUCAUUGAUUAGUCGAUCGCCAAGAUAUGGCAGUGCCUCCACAGGUAAAUACAUAACCUGUUUGAGACCGAGCCUUGUGUGGGUCAGAUAAAUACCCAUCAUCAACAUAACCAACCAGAUUGGCACUACAAUUGUUGCCAUAAAAUAAGCUCAUAUCGGUAGUCUCUUUUAGAUACCACAAUAUGUGUUUGAUUCCAUUCCAAUAUCUCCUUGUAGGAGCAGAGCUAUAUCUUGCUAAGACAUUAACUGGAAAAAUUAUGUCAGGCCUUGUAGUAUUAGCAAGAUACAUUAGUGCACCAAUUGCACUAAGAUAUGGUACUUCAGGACCAAGUAGCUCUUCAUUCUCUUCUUGAGGUCGGAAUGGAUCCGUAUUCACAUCAAGUGAUUGAACAACCAUCGGAGUACUUAAUGGAUGUGCUCCAUCCAUGUAAAACCGUUUCAAUAUAUUUUCUAUGUAGGCAGAUUGAUGAACAAAAAANNNNNNNNNNNNNNNNNNNNNNNNNNNNNNNNNNNNNNNNNNNNNNNNNNNNNNNNNNNNNNNNNNNNNNNNNNNNNNNNNNNNNNNNNNNNNNNNNNNNNNNNNNNNNNNNNNNNNNNNNNNNNNNNNNNNNNNNNNNNNNNNNNNNNNNNNNNNNNNNNNNNNNNNNNNNNNNNNNNNNNNNNNNNNNNNNNNNNNNNNNNNNNNNNNNNNNNNNNNNNNNNNNNNNNNNNNNNNNNNNNNNNNNNNNNNNNNNNNNNNNNNNNNNNNNNNNNNNNNNNNNNNNNNNNNNNNNNNNNNNNNNNNNNNNNNNNNNNNNNNNNNNNNNNNNNNNNNNNNNNNNNNNNNNNNNNNNNNNNNNNNNNNNNNNNNNNNNNNNNNNNNNNNNNNNNNNNNNNNNNNNNNNNNNNNNNNNNNNNNNNNNNNNNNNNNNNNNNNNNNNNNNNNNNNNNNNNNNNNNNNNNNNNNNNNNNNNNNNNNNNNNNNNNNNNNNNNNNNNNNNNNNNNNNNNNNNNNNNNNNNNNNNNNNNNNNNNNNNNNNNNNNNNNNNNNNNNNNNNNNNNNNNNNNNNNNNNNNNNNNNNNNNNNNNNNNNNNNNNNNNNNNNNNNNNNNNNNNNNNNNNNNNNNNNNNNNNNNNNNNNNNNNNNNNNNNNNNNNNNNNNNNNNNNNNNNNNNNNNNNNNNNNNNNNNNNNNNNNNNNNNNNNNNNNNNNNNNNNNNNNNNNNNNNNNNNNNNNNNNNNNNNNNNNNNNNNNNNNNNNNNNNNNNNNNNNNNNNNNNNNNNNNNNNNNNNNNNNNNNNNNNNNNNNNNNNNNNNNNNNNNNNNNNNNNNNNNNNNNNNNNNNNNNNNNNNNNNNNNNNNNNNNNNNNNNNNNNNNNNNNNNNNNNNNNNNNNNNNNNNNNNNNNNNNNNNNNNNNNNNNNNNNNNNNNNNNNNNNNNNNNNNNNNNNNNNNNNNNNNNNNNNNNNNNNNNNNNNNNNNNNNNNNNNNNNNNNNNNNNNNNNNNNNNNNNNNNNNNNNNNNNNNNNNNNNNNNNNNNNNNNNNNNNNNNNNNNNNNNNNNNNNNNNNNNNNNNNNNNNNNNNNNNNNNNNNNNNNNNNNNNNNNNNNNNNNNNNNNNNNNNNNNNNNNNNNNNNNNNNNNNNNNNNNNNNNNNNNNNNNNNNNNNNNNNNNNNNNNNNNNNNNNNNNNNNNNNNNNNNNNNNNNNNNNNNNNNNNNNNNNNNNNNNNNNNNNNNNGUGCCCGUAAUCGAAUAUUUGUGCCAUAAUUUUGCAAACGCGAGGUUGCGAGAUGACAAUAGGAACACAUGGGACCAUCUAGAAGAUGCAUCUAUUAAGACCAUAAAAUAUCUAAACGACCCACUAGGUGGGUGAAUAGGUCCAUAAAUGUCCCCUUGUAUACGUUCCAAAAAUGCAGGGGACUCAAUUCCAACCUUUGUUGGUGAUGGUCUAAUAAUUAACUUGCCUUGAUAACAUGAAGUGCAAGAAAAUUCAUCAUUUAAAAGAAUCUUUAUAUUCUUUAAUGGAUGCCCAUUUGAGUUUUCUAUAAUUCGUCUCAUCAUAAUCGAUCCAGGAUGUCCCAAUCGAUCAUGCAAAGUACAAAAGUAUUGGAAUCAAUAACCUUUUGGUUUACAAUAGAAUGUGCCUCAAUUGCACUAAUUCUUGUCCAAUACAUGCCACAAGAUAAAGAUGGGAACUUCUCAAUAACCCUCUUUUGGCCAGAGACAUUCUUGGUAAUGAUGAGAUAUUCAAGAUUAUUCUCAUCUAUUGUCUCAAUAUGAUAUCCAUUUCGACGGAUAUCUUUAAAACUCAACAAGUUCCUCUUAGACUUGGAGGAGAACAUUGCAUCUCUAUGAUAAGUAUUGUUCCCUUAGGCAGAGUUAUAGUAGCUCUUCCAGAGCCUUCAAUUAAUUUACUACUACCAGAAAUUGUAGUAAUAUCUGUCUUACACAUAUUUAAAUGAGAGAAAUAUUUCUUCUUUUUGAAUAUUGUAUGUGUCGUACAUGAAUCAAUUAAACAAAUAUUUUACAAUUGAACUUUGAUCCAAGUUUGCUUUGAGAGAUAUCCAUAUUCGCUUCCCAUUGUUUGACAUACAAAAGAAAUAUACGAAUUAAUAUUAGUAUUUUCAGAGAAAAAGAAAAAAUAAAUAAAGUUAAAUCAAUGAUUCAAUAAUGACCUUUUAAUGCAAUUUCGACCUUUUAAUGCCUUUCUCAGUUUAGUAUGUCUCUGCCAAAUAUGCUGCUACUCAGGUUCUAAUCGUUUUUGGCGGACACUGACGGUGACGGUCAAGCACAAAUUGCAAGCCCGCCAACUCAUAUAAGAAGUCCUUUUGAGUUAACUUGGCUAUCUUCAUAAACCUCUUGUAUGUGAAAUAUAAUCUACAAUCACCGACUCUAGAAAAUCUACUGAAUCUUCUUGAGACGGUAGAGUCUCGUGCUGAUAACGUGUGAUAAAACAAUAAAGUAGAAGAACAAUAUUACAGAGAAAGAGAGAGUAAUUUUUAUUGAAUUUUGGGAUGAUUUACAAUGGGGUAAGACCCCUUUAUUUAUAGGGGAAAAAUGACUUAGCCACAAAGUAAAACUCUCUACAAGAUAGUCAUUCACUCUAAAUAGAAUUCUAUUCAUAACAUUUUAAAGUUUUAUGAGUGGAGAAAUAAUUUUCACCCAAAAACUUGCAUAAAUCAAUUUUGGGAACUUGAAAAACAAUUUCUAAAUUUUUUUCAGGAACUGGUCAAAUUCCCCGAACAAAUAAUGAUUUUAAUUUUUUUUUAAAAUAGCCAAAAUAUAUAGCCAAACUAUAUGCAGUCAGACAUCUCUAUAAUAGUAUCGAUAUAUAACAAUCAUUCAUUAUAAAAUCUAGUUAUUUAUGAAAUCAAUUUUUAUGUUAUGUUAUAAUAUAUGUUCUCUAUAAUAACAUUUCAUUAUAACAAGCAAAAUAAUUAGGAGCAAAUGAGGCUGCCACAGAUAGAUUUGUCUCACACUAUCUCAUCAACGUACUUUAGCUUGUACUUUUAUUAUUUUCUAUUUUCUAUUUUCCUUUUUGACAGGACAGUUUGCUAUGCCGUACCUAGUUUGAGACAGUUCUCUUUCUACAACUUUUGCUCGCCUAUUCAAUUUAUUUUAAACAAUAUAUUUCUAUGAGAUUAGAGAUAAAAAGAAUGCAUUAAUAAUCUCUUGCACAAUUGGCUAAGCACCGCAAAUAGGUAUAUUUCUAUCCGUAUUCGCACAAUGACUAGGUUCAAGAUCGUGGUCUAUUCAAUCAUAUUGCAAUCAAGAAUUACUUCUUUCAAGUUCAACUCAAGAUUCAUUUAUUUAAGUUUACUGUUAGCUGGACAGUGAAAUAAUUAGGCUCAAUAUAUGAAUAAACAACUCAAUAUGAUAUAUUAAAUCAUCAAAUCAAUCUUUGAAUAUCAACAUUCAUGUAAAACCAUAAUCCCAGAAUAAAUGAGUUUAGCCAUGCAUAGUCAUUGUAGCAAUCUUAAUAGAUUCCCAAGAAUACAUAAAAAUCAAUAAUAGAAGGGAAAAAGAAGGACUCAAGAUGAAUUCCACGAUUUCCGAACUGUAUUAUGGAUUUUCUCUGCUUCCAAGUGUGCUCUUGCCUCUCCAAAGUCUUCUCUCCCUUCAAAAAGUGGCUAACUAUCAUAUUUAUAUGAUUUACAAUUCAGUUGGGGCGAAUUUGGCUUUUCCUAAUUCGGAUUAGAGAAGCUGAUUUUUUUUGUUGCUCCCGUCCCGGUUUGGAGAAAUGAUGUCAAGAGGCUUCAGCUAUGGCGGUGACAAGAGAAGAAAUGUGAGUAAAAAGAGGAAAUGAGAAAAAGCAGAAGCAAUUAUUUACUUCAUUGAGCAGAAAAAUAGUCAUUGUUACAUUGAGCUAAGAACUAAGCUACUAUUUAUUCAUUUGUUAGUUAUAACUAACUCAACUACUAUGUAUAGUGUAAUACUAACUAAUCUACUAACUGUAAUUUAGUUAAAUAGGUGGGGCCUAUAUUUCUCAACACUCCCCCUCAAGCUGAGGGAUGAAAUACAUUCUUCAUUCCCAGCUUGCUUAGUAAGUAGUCAUGUUGUAGUUUGCACAAGGCAUUUGUCAGCACAUCUGCUAUUUAUUCUGUUGUACCCACAUGCUAAGUUUGAAUAAUCCCUUGUACUAGUUUUUCUCUUACAAAAUGACAAUCAAUAUCUAUGUGUUUAGUUCGUUCAUGAAAAAUUAGAUGUGUAGCAAUUUGGAUUGCUGCCUUGCUGUCACAGUGUAGAGGCACAUGCAGAGCAAUAUCCACUCCUAACUCCUUGAAAAGUCCAACCAACCACACAAUUUCAGCUACUGUGGUUGCCAUGCUUCUGAACUCUGCUUCAACUGAGCUUCUUGAUAUUGUUCCUUAUUUCUUUGACUUCCAGGAAAUCAGUGCAUAUCCAAAAUUAACCACAUACCCUGUGACUGACCUGCUAGACUCAACACAAGCUUCCCAAUCUUCAGAAUCACUAUCUUUCACUACUUGAUCAAACUCAACAGAAGUAAGUUUUUGAUUAAACUCCAGAGGUGUAUAGGCUGGUUUACCUUCUGCUAGGCCAAGUUCAGAUACCAAUUCUAGGGCAUAUUUCCUUUGACACAUUAGGAUACCCUUUUGAGACCUUAAGAACUCAAUGCCAAGAAAAUAUUUUAGCUCUCCUAGAUCCUUCAUUUUAAACUUCUCCUACAAAUCUUUUCUGACUUGCUUAAUAAGAAGUAAGUUGAUGCUAGUUACCAACAAAUUAUCCACAUAAACUAGGAUGACUACAAGAUCAGCUCCUAUUCUUUGGUGAAGAGGGAAUAGUCAUAGUGGCUUUGAGUAAAAUCCAUGUCUAGGAGUGCCUCUGUUAGCUUAAAAUUCCACUAUCUAGGUGUUUGCUUCAAUCCAUACAAAGACUUAUAUAGUUUACAAACCUUUUGACUCUCCCCCUGGCUUGAAAAGCCAUCAGGAACUUGCAUGUAGACCUCUUCUUAAAGGUUACCCUGCAGGAAUGCAUUAUGAAUAUCCAUCUGAAAAAUUUACCAACCAGAUGCAGCAGCUAGUGCAACUACAGCCCUCCCUGUGACCAUCUUGGCCACAUGGGAGAAUGUGUCUGUAUAGUCCAGGCCUUCCUGUUGACUGUAGCCUUUGGCUACUAGUCUAGCUUUAUAUCUUUCCACAUCACUAUUUACACUACAAAAAAAACUGAAAUUAGCUAUGAUCAUCAUCACUAACGCCCGUAGCUAGCAGAAUUUCUUGAUAAUUCGUUGCUAAUCCGUCGCUAAAUGAGAUUAGCAAUGGAUUUUUCUAUUUAGCUACAGAAGUUGCUCGUCGCUAAAAUCAAAAUUUUUAGUAGUGUUAGACUUAUACUUAACCUUGAAAACCCACUUUCACACUAUAGGAACCUUCGCUUGAGGUAGAUCAACCAAGGACCAGGUAUUAUUGUCUUGUAAUGUUGAAAUCUCAGCCUGCAUAGCUUUAAUCCACUUUGGAUCAGCACUUGCUUCUUUGAAUGUUCUGGGUUCAACAAUAGCUAAUAUGCAGCAAGAGAAGCCCUGUAGUCUAAAGACAGUUGAUUGUAAGAGACAAGUUGUGAUACAGGAUAGGGACAAGUAGAUUUCAUGGGCUAAACUACAUAAUCAGUUAGCCAUAUAGGAGGUUUAGAAGUCCUAGAAGAUCUUCUAAGACCUUCAUGAGAGACUGAGGGUGCAGGAGGAGGAAUAAGGGGGGGGUUGGUUCAGAAUUGCCACCAUAGAGAGGACUUGAAGGAGAAGACAUUUGUUGAGCAUCAAAAGCAAGUAAAUCUGAGAUAGAUACAGGUUGGCUAGCACUCUUUUUGAUUGAUGCAUUAGCGAACUCUAGUAUAGGAAAUAAGGGAGAAGUUCCAAGUUGCAUGUGCUUAAAGGGAAAAAUGUCUUCCUUGAAGACAAUAUCUCUACUAACAAAGAAGCCCUUGGAAUGUAGAUCAUAGAGAAUAUAGCUCUUUUGAGAAGAUGAAUAUCCCAUAUGAACUGCUGGAAUUGUCCUAGGACUGAACUUAUCCCCCUUUUCACUUUUGUGGUGUAGCAUAAGCUACCAAACACUCUCAGAUGUUGUAAAGAAGGUAUCUUCUUAAAUAGUGCUUCAAAUGGAGACUUACCUUGAAGAAGACCAGUAGGUAAUCUAUUUAGUAGAUAUACAAUUGUAAACACAUACUAAACCCAAAAUCUUAGGGGUACAAAGGCCUGAAAUCUGAGAGCUCUAGCCAUAUCCAAUAUAGUUCUAUGCCUUCUCUCUACUACCCUAUUUUGUUGGGGUGUAUAGACACAGGAACUCUGAUGAAGAAUUCCCAGAUUGUGCAACAGAUGAUGAACUUAAUCAUUCACAAAUUCAAUGCCAUUGUUAGUUCUGAGGCACUUGACUGCAGUUAAACUGAUUUGACACCAUUGUAAGAAAGUUCUUUAGAACUACAAUUGUGUCUGCCUUAGUAGUUAAUAGGAAAUCCAAAUAUAUUUUGAGAAAUCAUCCACCAAGGUUAAAAAAUAUCUCUUGCCAUCAUGACUUGGUAGUCUAUAUAGACCCCAAACAUCUGCUUGAACAAGAUAAAAAAUAGGAGUAGAUCAAGAUGUUCUAAGAGGAAAAGGUAGCCAUGAUUACUUUGCAAUAGGACAUACAGUACAAUGCUAAUGUUCAGUUAUAAGCAACCCUUGAAGAUUAUGUAGUUUCUGCAGUACUUUUAGAGGAGCAUGUCCUAACCUUCUAUGCCACAAAGAGAAAUCAUUACAUGGACUUGUAUUAUUCUGGCUACCAGUCUUAUUUGUGCUAACAAUAGUAUUUACACUUGGUGAUAUAUGAUGUUCAGGAGUUCGUCUCUCUGCAGCCUUGAGGAUAAAGAGUCCAAGUUCUUCUCUACCAAUCCCCAGUACCUUACCACUGAAGAUUUCCUAAAAGACACAAAAGUCAGGAAAGAAUGCCACCAAACACCUUAACUCUUUUGUGAUCUUAGAUACUGAAAGUAAGUUAUACUUGAAAUCUGCAAUGUGAAGUAUAUUCUGACUUUUCUUAUUUAUGAAGAAAGAACAAAUUCCAAUAUGUGUAAUAGAAGCUUGUUCGCCAGUAGGCAAUUGGACUUUAUUUUUAUCCUUCUCUGAUACUUCUUUAUAAGAGUCCAAUAGAUUUAGACUAUGCACCAUGUGAUUAGAUGCUCCUGUAUCUACUAUCCAAUUAUGAUCCACCAAAGUAGACAUAAAAGCAUGUAAUAUACUUGAUGUCCAUGUAGUAGCUAAGUUAGCAAUAGGUUUAGUAUCUUUGCCCUUGUUCAGCAUCUGCAGAAUUUGUUGAUAUUGCUCUGGAGUAAAGAACCGAUCUGGAGCAGCAUAAUUCAGUUGAUUUCCUUGUGUGUCUGAAGGCAGAUUUCCAUAAUUAUUCUCCAUAUGAUUCAUAUUGUUGUUCACAUUAUUUGCUUGAGCAUUGAAAGUACCUCCUCUUCUCUUAUUCUUGAAAUCACUAGGAUAUCCAUGAAGCUUGAAACAGUUUUCCUUUGUAUGACCUUUACACUUACAAUACUCACACUGAACUGUUGAUUUGUUGAAGAAAUUCUUAGGUUUGUAACCUCCAGAGUAGCCAGUGUUAGUGUAACCUCCAGAAGUAUUAUAUACUCCAUUCUAACCACUAUUAUGGGCUCUAUUACUCAUCAUGGUAGUAGCUUCAUUGUUAUCAUUAGAAUUAUUCACAUGUUUUCCAGUAAUCCUUUAACUUUCUACAUUGAUUAUUAUGGCAUAAACUUGGUUUAGAUUGGGUAUUGGUCUAGUCAUAAGCACCUGAUUUUUGGCAUUUUUAUAGGUGUCAUUGAGACCUGUCAGAAGCUGAUGGUGUUCUAUAUGUUUCUGUGAUGCAAGACAACCACAUGAAGGUGGUGGAGUAAGUGUUUCAUACUCAUCCCAGAGUUCUCUCAAAUGAGAGAAAUACACCACAGAGGAUACUUCUUGUGUCAAAGUAGCAAUUUCUUUAUAUAGAUAAGCAGCUCUAGAUGCAUUUAAUUUUUCAAAUCGUUCCCUUAGAUUUUCCCAGACAGUAUAGGCAUCAGAAGCAUAGAUGACAGUGCUAAUCAAGUUUGGUGCCACAGUAUUCCUAAUCCAUGCAAUACUAUUGCAUUACACCUCAUAGAUCAUGAAGACUAACAUCAUAGUUACUUUUUUUGCAGGUGCCUAAGACAAAACCUGAUUUGUUUUUACCAUGCAACACAAUUUUCAAAGAUCUACUCCAAAUAUAGUAGUUUUUAGAACCUUGUAGCUGAAUAGAUAUGAGAACAGAACCUUGUGUAUCGGAUGGAUGAAUGUACAGAGGAUGAUGAUGAUCGACUUGAUCAACUGAUUAUGCGAAGGUCUGAUUAUCAGCAACUUCUUCAUUGGCCAGCAUUAUUGCAGGCAUUGAAGGAAAAUAUCUGAGAAUUCUGAGAUUGAAUAGAAAUGCAGCUAUUGACAGUCAAUUGAGGCUCAAUCGAACAAAUCUCUAAACCCUAGCUUGCGAGGAGUGAGAUCCAGAUUGAGAGUUGGCUCAAUUUAUCAGAUUUACUUAGGUAAUUGACUCAAUUAAAUCUGUCACAACUGAGCUAACACUCGUUUAACUGAGCUAUGAUACCAUGUCAAGAGGCUUCAGCUAUGGCAGUAACAAGAGGAGAAAUGUGAAGAAGAAGAAGAAGAAGAAGAAGAAGAAAAAGAGGAAAUAAGAGAAAGCAGAAGCAAUCAGUUACUUCAUUGAGCAGAAAAAUAUUCACUGUUACAUUGAGCUAAGAACUAAGCUACUAUUUAUACACUUGUUAGUUGUAACUAACUCAACUACUAAUAUAGUAUAAUGUAAUACUAACUAAUCUACUAACUGUAGUUUAGUUAAAUAGGUGGGGCCUACAUCUCUCAAUAAGCGAACCUUGCUUUGCUGUCCCAGAUUUCUGUCUCUAGCUUUUCUUUCGCCAAUUUUGAUCAUAUUUGAUCCUUUUCCGCGCAAGUUCGUUCCUACACAUAAGAAACACGUAAUGAGCAUAUUUUUACUUCAAAAUAGUGUGAGCCCCCGCAACUCACACAAAAAUUAAUAUGAAAACACAUUCAAAACAUGCACUUUUCACCCUUCAUCACAUUACUUUCUUUUGGUUUUUCUUUUCAAAAUAUUGCACGUUACAAAAAUUUCUUAGUUAAACAGCGGUAGUUUCAUUUUCUAAUUAACAUUUCUGUGUUCAGAUUUGAGUAAUAAUGCUAAUCACAUGCAGGAAGAUUGAGUGCCCUUCUGUUUUUGCUGUCUCAAUGAAAAAAACAACCAUUUUCUGAGAUCUCUUAUUAGGGAACCAUACUGCCAUUAAUUCAUAAUCGUCUAUGAUCGAUUGUUUAAUAUUUUUUUGGUAAUUAAAGUUAGUUCCUUUUUCUACUUUAAUAUAUUCUGUCGAUCUAAAGCAACAGUAUUGUUAACUACGUACUGUUGCUUUUCCGGCGCAAUUAUAUUAAACUCAAAACGAAUAGAUAAUGAAUGCAUAAAAGUUCUCUGCUUUUUGUGACAUUUUUAAAGAAAUUUGCAGGACUUGUGCAUAGAUGCUUAAGUUGUUUUGAUAAUUAACUUGACGGUGUUCCCAGCAAACUUUGCUGUAAUAAGAAAAUAGACCCUAUAUAUUGGCUCUUAAUUCUUACACUUGAUUUUACGUUAUAAACAAAACAAAAAUAAGUACAUAAUGAGAUGAUUAAUGUUGACAUUUUCUGAUGAUCCUUAUGUAGUUAUUUCGUUUCGUGUGUAUAAUCUCAAUCAAUUCAGCUUUAGCGUCUAUUGCUGGUUAUAUCUCGAUAGACGUAUUUCAGAAUAUAUAUUUUUUUCCACUUAUUGGGAGUGGAAUUAAGCUAGGUGUAAAAAGACCAGAAAAUUGGACUUGGCCCAGCCAAUUAAGAACAAUUUGGACUUCUACUUUGCUGAAAUUUAAAAAUAGCUAGAUUUACAAGUGGUCAUUCAAAAAUAGUCACAGUUUCAAAAGUCAUCGAAAUUUCGCCACUUUUCAUGUAAAGAUAAAACUAAACGAAAACAUUAUUCAAAAUCCGGAAAAUACUCUAGCAUAAUAUACUAGAAUUCUAGUAUAAUAUACUGGAGCCAGCAAAGUAUACCGAUCCAGCAUAAUAUGCUGGAAGUUCAUACACAGGUGCACCUAACUCUAAUAUAUUAUACUGGAUCGAUCUCUGUUGCAGUAAAAUAAUGGCUAUUUUUCAAUGACUUGACAAACGAUGGCUAUUUUUUGAAUGACCAGUCCGAAAACUAGCCCGUGCUAUUUUGACUAAUGGAUUUGGAUAAAGAACUUUAGGUCAAAAUAACACGGGCUAGCCAAUUUUCAGGCUGGUAAUUGAAAAUAGCCAUCGUUUGCAAAGUCAUUGAAAAAUAGGCACUAUUUUGCUGCAACACGGAAAGUGCAGCAUAAUAUACUGGAGAUUGGAGCAAGUGCGUAUGAACUUCCAACAUAAUAUGCUGGACCAGUAUAUUAUACUAGAACUCCAGUAUAUUAUUUGGAGUUCUAGUAUAUUAUGCUGGAAUAUUUUUCGGAUUUUGAACAGUGUUUUAGUUCCGAUUUAUCUUUACAUGAAAAGUGGCUAAAUUUUGAUUAUUUUUGAAAGUGUAGCUACUUUUCAAUUACCACUUGUAAAUAUGGCUAUCUUUGCAUUUCAGCCAAACUUUAGCGGGGGAAUUUGCAUCUAUACCCAGUUUUUGAGCCACCUUUUAACUUAUACCCGCUUUGCAAAAAAAAUUGCAAGCGUACCCACUUUUCGUGUAGCUUCAGGCAUAUGGGCAUGAAGUAGCAAGAAUUUAUGUCUGAAGUUUGAACUUCAGAUUUUUUUUCCUAAAGUGUGGCCUGACUUGCAAAGGCAAUCACGCAAACUUCAGUUCAUAAGCAAGGGCAAACUUCAGUUCAAUUGUUUAUGCCUGAAGUUUGAACUUCAUAAAUUUUUGCCUGAAAUGUAGCCUUAUCAAAGCAAAACUUCAGAUAUUUUUGCUUGAAGUUAGGCCUGACUUGCAAAGGCCAUCACACAAACUUCAGUUUAUAAGCAAGGGCAAACUUCAGCUCAAUUGUGUACUUCAGAUAUUUUUCUAUGAACUUCAGACAUUUUGAUAUAAACUUCAGAUAUUUUGACAUAAACUUCAGACAUUUGGUUAUGAACUACAUAUAUUUGGCUAAGAUUGUCAAACAUAUGGGAUAUAUACUUCAGAUACUGAAGUAUAAACUUCAGACAUUUGAGUCUGAAGUUAGGCACUGCUAUUGGUUAUCCUCGUUUCCAUGGCUUAUUACGCCAUAUGAAGGUGACGACAUCUCAGAUGCGAUGUUGGAUUUCAAUGCAUUGCAUGAGACUGCAAGGUCAGUUGCGGUGAAAGCUUUUGCACUAUUAAAGCGAGGUUGGAGCAUACUUAAUAAGGUUAUGUGGAGACCUGAUAAACAGAAAUUCCCAAGUAUCAUUCUCGUGUGUUGUUUGCUUCAUAGUAUUAUCAUUGAUUGUGGAGACCAAUUAAAUCCUAAGGUUGCCUUAUCUGGUCAUCAUGACCCAAGAUAUAAGGGAAGAUGACGGUUUUAUUCUUGCAUAUUGCCAUGAACUAAGAGAUACAGUUUAGCGUGAACUCUCAAGAUCCUAAACUGGGGAACUCAUCAGAAAAGAAGAGGAGGAAGAAAGGAACGCAUAGGUUCGGAGUAAGAAGAGGAGGCAUCUGAAAUUUUUAAAAUUAGAGUAUAAGUUAAAUAAUUUUAAAAAUAUAGGUAUAGGUUAAAUGAGAGCGUCCCGUACAAUUUUUACAACUUUAGCUUACAUGAGCUAAGCCCAACAUCCAUCUCUGAAACUGAAAGGCGAGUAAAAGGAAUUAUAGUCCCUGACUCAAUCGUACAGGGUUUGUACCUCACACUGGCUAAUUCACUCUUUCGAUAUAAACUUAUAUUUCAACAAUUAGCAUAUCAUAAAAAUAGAAAGAGAAUUACUAUGAUCACAAAGUACAAGAACAAGUCGAACAUCAACUUAAAAAGUAAUUGAAUAUGAGGAAUAUCAUAUUCAUUAUUUGUAGUAAGUAUUCAUGAUUGUUAAAGCAUUAGAAUCAAAAACCAAACUGGCUGAAAAUCUAUUUGGAUUCAAAAAUUAGAAUUUUAACAAGUCAAUCAAAAUUUAUCCAAUAAUUGGUAUGGAGAAGUAUUAAAUCUACAUAAUUUUAACUUUAAUUAAUACUCCUCUCGUCCCAAUUUAUAUGACAUAAUUUCCUUUUUAAUAUGUUCCAAAAAGAAUGUCAUACUAUUUUACUUUUAAUGAGAUAAAGUUAUUUUGUAUAUGAUUUGUUUUAAACCACAAGUUUCGAUUUUUUUUACUUACUUAAAUUUCGUACCCUGUCAAACACGCCACAUAAAUUGAGACAAAUACAGUUAAACAAAAGUUAUUUUUUCUUCUUAUACAAUAUUUGAAACUUAUUUAUCAAAAUUAUCCAUAUUUUGUCUAUUACCCGCCCUAAAUAAAUUUUUCUUACAAUUUAUUAUUAGUGCCUUAAAUUAGUGAAUUCUUAGCUUCGAAAAAAGGCAUAACUGAAGAAAACAACAGUGUUAACCACGUUUGAGUCUCUGACGGUGGCAAUAACAGCUCUCAUCAUCGAAAAAGUGUAGGCCCACCAAGACAAUUAAAACUUACAAUUACGUAUUGGACAAUUCAACCUCUGAUAAAGCAGAGUCUCUAUAUGGAAGAAUUGAGCCAAAAACUUUUGGGGAUCUCCCUUUGCUAUAUUUACCUAUUUUAAUAAAAUAAUAAUGUAUGGUACAAUAACAUACAAAUCUAAAAUAAAUUUCGUACAAAUUUAAUAUAAAAUUGAUAUAUCCACAACAACAUACAUACUAAAAAUAAAUUUCAUACAACUAAGUAUACAGUAUACAACUUAUUUAUAACUUAUGUACAACUUUCAUACAUUAUUCUUAUCCGGUUAAAUACAAUUACAAUACCAUACAACUUAAAUAUAAUUUUCAUACAAAUUUUAUACAAUAUGCCUUUUGUAUAAUUUUUGUAUACGAUUUGUAUAUAUUUUGUAUGUAGCGUGUUCUUCUUCCUCUCUUAAUACAAUUUUGAUACAUAUCAAAAACUUUAUGUAAGGAGAUAGUAUUUAUAACUUAAAUAUAAAUUUUGUACAACGACUCAUACAUUAUACAACUAUUUUUCAACUUUCAUACAACAUUGAAAUAUAUAUAUAUAUAUAUAUAUAUAUAUAUAUAUAUUGUAACGACCCGACCGGUCGUUUUGAGCUCUAGCGUGUCGUUCAGCCGUUUGACGCCCUGAUUAUUUUCACUUCAGGUAUUAUGACUUGUACGCAUGGUCGGACUUGAAUUCCGGGAAGUUCGGAGUUGAUUUGGAGAGAGAAUUCUCAUUUCGAAAGCUUUAAGUCGAAAGAAUUGACUAAGAUUGGAUUUUUGAGUAAACGGCCUUGGAAUCAAGAUUCGAAGGUUCCAGCAGGUUCAUAUGAUGAUUUCGGACUUGGGCGUAUGUCCGGAUCAAAUUUUGGAAAACCCGGGAACGUUUCGGCACCUGCUGUGGAAGUUAGCAUUUUUGAAAGAAUUUCAUAAGUUUGGGUUGAAGUGUAUUUCAAUGUUAUCAAUGUCUGUUUGGGAUUCCGAGUCUGGGAAUAGCUCCGUAUGGUGAUUCUAGUGUUGAGAGCGCGAUCGGAAGAGAAUUUGGAGGUCCAUGGGUCAUUUUGGAGUAAUUUGGCUAAAGUUAGAAAUUUAAAGGUUUUUUGAGGAGUUUGACCGGACGUGGACUUUUUGAUACUGGGGUCGAAUUCCGAUUCCGGAAGUUGGAGUUCCGUAAUGUCAAGUAUGACUUGUGUGCAAAUUUUGAGGUCAAUCGGAUGUGAUUUGAUAGGUUUAAACAUCGAAAGUAGAAGUUUGAAAUUUUAAAGUUCAUUAAGCUUGAAUCGGAGUGCGUUUCAUGAUUUUAGCGUUGUUUGAUGUGAUUUACAGCCUUGAGCAAGUCCAUGUUAUAUUUUUAGACUUGUACGGGUAUUUGAUUUGGAGCCCCGGGGGCUCGAGUGAGGUUCGGAGUAGCUUCGGAGUGGUUUGUUAAGGAGUAGGAUUGCUGGUACUGGUAUGACCGCAUUUGCGGUGUUUUGGUCGCAAAUGCGACCCUCGCAUUUGCGAGCUUGGGUUGCUGUGGGAAAAGAUUGCAUUUGCGAACUAAGGUCGCUUUUGCGAGGCUGGCAGCUUCGCAUUUGCGAAGAAUCUGAUCGCAAAUGCGACCUGGGCAGGAAUGGCUUGGCUUCGCAUUUGCGAUGCAUUUGUUGCAAAUGCGGCCAUCGCAUUUGCGAGCUGGAUGUCGCAAAUGCGACAUCUGCUACUGGAACCCAAGGCUUUUUAUCCCGAGACUUAGCCCUUUNNNNNNNNNNNNNNNNNNNNNNNNNNNNNNNNNNNNNNNNNNNNNNNNNNNNNNNNNNNNNNNNNNNNNNNNNNNNNNNNNNNNNNNNNNNNNNNNNNNNNNNNNNNNNNNNNNNNNNNNNNNNNNNNNNNNNNNNNNNNNNNNNNNNNNNNNNNNNNNNNNNNNNNNNNNNNNNNNNNNNNNNNNNNNNNNNNNNNNNNNNNNNNNNNNNNNNNNNNNNNNNNNNNNNNNNNNNNNNNNNNNNNNNNNNNNNNNNNNNNNNNNNNNNNNNNNNNNNNNNNNNNNNNNNNNNNNNNNNNNNNNNNNNNNNNNNNNNNNNNNNNNNNNNNNNNNNNNNNNNNNNNNNNNNNNNNNNNNNNNNNNNNNNNNNNNNNNNNNNNNNNNNNNNNNNNNNNNNNNNNNNNNNNNNNNNNNNNNNNNNNNNNNNNNNNNNNNNNNNNNNNNNNNNNNNNNNNNNNNNNNNNNNNNNNNNNNNNNNNNNNNNNNNNNNNNNNNNNNNNNNNNNNNNNNNNNNNNNNNNNNNNNNNNNNNNNNNNNNNNNNNNNNNNNNNNNNNNNNNNNNNNNNNNNNNNNNNNNNNNNNNNNNNNNNNNNNNNNNNNNNNNNNNNNNNNNNNNNNNNNNNNNNNNNNNNNNNNNNNNNNNNNNNNNNNNNNNNNNNNNNNNNNNNNNNNNNNNNNNNNNNNNNNNNNNNNNNNNNNNNNNNNNNNNNNNNNNNNNNNNNNNNNNNNNNNNNNNNNNNNNNNNNNNNNNNNNNNNNNNNNNNNNNNNNNNNNNNNNNNNNNNNNNNNNNNNNNNNNNNNNNNNNNNNNNNNNNNNNNNNNNNNNNNNNNNNNNNNNNNNNNNNNNNNNNNNAAAUUUGACCACAAAAAUGGUUAUGGAAUUUGGUAAAAAUCAUAUAUUUGACUUCAUAAGGUUAUGGGUAACAACUUUCGUCGAAAUUUUUUCGGAAUCAGGGCACGUGGGACCGGGGGUGAAUUUUUGGAACCUUGCAUUUAGGGUCGGAAAAUUGGUUUAAUAAUUAGAAUAUGGAUCUUUGUGCAUGUAUUGACUAGUUCUUACCUCAUUUGAAUAGUUUUGGAUCGUUCGGCUCUGAUUUAGAGGUUUGGGCUCGUUUUUAAAUUGGGAUAUAGGCUUCAGAGUGAGGUGAGUCUCCUUUCUAACCUUGUAAGAGGGAAUUGUCCCCAUAGGUGAAUUAAUUAGUUAUGUAUUUCUAUUUGUGGGGGCUACGUAUGCACGAGGUGACGGAAGUCCGUGCGUAGCUACUAUUAUGCUUAAGCCCGGGUAGUUUAGGACCUAAAAACAUGCUUUACUUGUAAUAUUUGAAAUCUUGUUGUCAAUUUGAAAAUUCUUAAAACAUAUCGAACGUAUAAAUGAAUUUCUAAAAGACUAGUCAUUGUUUCUUGAUUUUUAGAAGAGAAAUUGCAUUUUCUUGGACAAUUACUCCUUGAUGAGUUCUUGAUUGACUGUUUGAUUGUGUUUAUAUAUUGUGGAACAGGCUGAACACAUCAGCAAAUUAAAUAGAUGCAUCUAUGGUUAGCGCCAUUCGACCCUUUGGCAGUGCACAAUUUAACUAUUGUUGGAUCGACCCGUACGUCAUUGGAAUGAUUUGCGCAUGCUUGUAAUGUCUGCUUUAAAAUUUAUUAAUGUUGAUAUUUGUUCUCCCUAGCCUGAGAUAAAUGUAUAAAUGAUGAAAAGGAAUUUGGGAAUUUCCUAUAAAAGAAAGAAUUGUUUACUUGCUUCAUUCUAUUGAGUUACAACCCUGUUUAUAAAAAUCCUUGAUUUAUUAUAAUAUUUGGUGUAUCAUUAUUGGACCACUAGCAAGUGUCGAAGUCGACCUCUCGUCUCUACUUCUUCGAUAUUAGGCUGGAUACUUACUGAGUACACGUUAUUUUUGUACUUAUGCUAUACUUGCUGUGAAUUUUUGUUGCACAGGCACAUGUACCUCUAGCGACCUGAUGGGCAUGGUAGCAUGGAUGAUACAGAGACUUAGGUGAGUUGCAUCUCUCGAGGCGGCCCGCAGCCGGCAUAGUUUCUUUCAGUGUAUAGUAUCUACCUUCUGCCCAAAUCUGUAUUCCAGAUAGUUAUUAUACUUCAUUUGAUUUUCCAAGAAUAUAACUGAUGCACUUAUGACACCGGGUUCUAGGAUAAGUAUGGGAUUAUUCAAUAUUUAGUUUGUUAAAGAUAUUAUCUUAUUUAAGGGAAAUUCAUUAUUUUGUUUAAUGUAUAAAAGAAAUAUUUUCAAUAAAUACUAAAAUGAAAAUUUAAUUAACGUUUUGGUGAUUGGCUUGCCUGACAGUGUUGUCCGACGCCAUCACGACCCUUAGUGGAUUUUGGGCCGUGACAACAUGGUAUCAGAGCACUAGGUUCCCUUAGGUCUCAUGAGUCAUGAGCGAGUAUAGUAGAGUCUUGCGGAUCGGUACAAAGACGUUUGUACUUAUCUUCAAGAGGCUACAAGGCUGUUAGGAGCACUUUCCUUCUUGAUUCCUCAUCGUGCGAUUUGAUUCCUUUGAGGCUUAUGCCCUUGUUUCCUUCCUACUCAAUCUUAUGCAACACGAAACACUUAUUAUAAAUCAGGAAUUGAGGAAUUGUAAUAGUACUACAGAUGUGGUGCAGGAUGUUUAUCCCUGCGUAGUUGUUUGGGCUAUUGUCGUCACCUUGGAGAAGGCCGUUCUGUCGUUUCAGUUCAGUAUCAAUAUUACCUAAGGUUUCGAGAUUUGGCAUCGAUGUUAUGACGAUUCGUGCAUUGCUAUCGCCCAGUAUUGAUGUGAUGGUAGGAUACUUACCAAUAUGUCGGGGUAGUGAAUAACUUGAAAGGAGCCCUACUCAGUGCAUGAUUCAGAGACUCGGUAUUUUAUUCCCGGCGUAGGAAAGGCAACCGGACUAUAAUUGUUCAGGAUUGAGUCGAUGUUUUUAAUGUCAACAUCUCGAGAAAACAUGAUCUUCGAAAAAGUAUAAAGUUAGUAGCGGUCUAUUGGUUCAAGUGCUACAUAGAUAUAAAUUGAUCUAAGGCAAAAAAACUAAAAAAUCUUGGCAGCAAAGGAUGAGGAAGGAUAUGUGGAAAGUGUCAUGCGGUGGUUAAACUUCUAGAAGGCUAGGUGUAAGAAGCAGAAGUCGAGUAGUUUCUUAAAGAAGUGAGUUUGCCCAAAGUGCGAGAGUGGUAGAAUAGCAUAUGGGUUCAGUGGCAGGAUCACUACACACCUUGAGGAAAAGUUAGAGUGGUUUGGGAAUUUUAGUGGACGGUGAUUGGGUCUACGAGCGUAAUUUGAAAUAUUGGCUAGCAUACGGUGGGAGAUUUGAUAUGACGAAAAGGAGCUACUUGAUAUGAAGAAGGAUACCUGUAUUUUAGUGGAUGUCCACGAGGAAUGAACGGAUUCGUUCAGCUAGUGAAUGAGCAUGGGCUCAAGAUGGGUCACUGAUUUUGUAGUAAUGGUGCAUUGCAGCGUUGUUGGGAGAUAACAUCAUGUAAUUUCUACAAAGUGUUAUCUCCUAUGAGCAGAUCUGCAGUCGUGUGGUUGGCGAAGCUUCUUCGAAGAAUCCUACUGGCUAUCCAGUAAAAAGUCGAAUAUGUGAAUGUUGCUAGAGAUUCAGAGUGUUCAUGAAAUGCUAACGGAAGUAUUUUAAGGAAUUUGGCGGUAGAUUGCACAAGGUCAUGUCAAUGAGAGAUAAAGAAUUUUGGUAGGUUCCGGAGUUGUGUAAUAAUGGCUUCAAGCUAAGUAGGAGAGUCCCACCACCUACGGUUGGAUUACAUGGUCGUCUAUUUGUGGGAUUUCAGGUUAUUAGCAUAUAGAUGGGUUAUUUUAGCUAAGAGAAAGGAACAUAAGAGGUAAUUUGAGCAAAGGAAUUGUUAAAGGUGUGCUAUAGUUGGCCUUAUUGACUCAUGUUCAAACUUGAGGAAGGGUACAAGAUUUAGGCCUUGGUAGAUGCGGGUUUCAAGGAAAGUGAUUUGGCUGGGUGCUUCGCCGAGAGGGUGUUCAUAUGCUAGAAGAUUCAUGGAGUUGAUUAUAUUCGGGACCAAGUCAGAGUGGGUGGCUCUUAACAACGGUUCUAGUGAAUUCAAAGGAUUUAAAAAUGUGGUGCCUAAGGAUUCAAGCCCGCAGUAUGGUUAAGAAUUGAGCUUUUGUAGCAGAUUAUGAUAAGAGGCUCGGAAUGAUCUAUGAUGUUUUUGAUUUUUAGUGUAGCAUAGGGAGGAAAAAGGGAAAAAGAUUUCAGAUUCAUAGAGGUAUUAUCAGAAUGGGUGCAUCAGUUGAAGAUGCGAAUGUGCGUACAAGGAGGGUGUGAAGCGGUUCAUGGGUUUGGAGACAAUAUGGUCUCAUGGAAUGGGGUCACUCAAGAUGAGUGCGGAUUUAGGUUGGUGAUGUUAGGAAUGGAGAUAAUAUUAUCUCUAGGCAAGUUAAGGAUGAAUUAGAGAAAGUUAUAUUGGUCAGCUAUGGUUGAAUUGGCAUAGUGGUGGCGGUGUGCGCGAGGCUCGAUGGCCGUCGUAAUUGAUUAUGUUUGGAAGUAUUCAAGUAUUAUGGCUUGUUAUGUGUAGGUAGAUCCCGGAAGGGUUAUGGUGGUUUAGACCACUACUUGAGGAUUUGAAUGUUCUACGGUUAUGAGAAGUUACUCGUGUGUUGCUAUGGUCCUCUUGGAAUGAGUUAAGUAAAAAGUUUCCAGGUGAGGAAGUGUUUACCAUAUUAGUGGUUUAGGAGUUAUGAUGAAGAUCUUGUGCUAUCGCAUAUUGGCAUGUUGGAUGCAGUGAGUGGUAUGGAAUUUGAAAGUGAGGAUAAAGGUUGCAGUUCGGUGUUGACAAGGAUGUCACGAGCUCGGAUGAGCAGGAAAGGGAUUUGAAUGAUUAGAGUAAGCUGUCAUUGUCUUCAAUGUCACUUGAGAUCGGUGUUUUGUGAAAAAGGCUUUGCAUCUUGGUUAAGGAUUCUUGAUCGCUUUUCAGCGUUAGUGCGACCGGUGGUAUGGAUGUACAGACCUGUUAUCUGUUACGGAAUGUCGUGGGAGCGUGCCCCAUGGGAAAGUUGUAUAAGUAUGGCAUGUAGUCACUUGAUUGAUUGAAUAAUUAAACCAAGUAUGAAGAUUGUGGUGAUAUCGUUAAUUUGAGAAUUGAUGCCUGGAGGGCACUCGAUUUAUUGAGUUGUGGACUAUGGAGAAUUACUCCAGUUAUGAUGGUUGUUCUUGUGGGUUAUGGGAAAAGGGGAUAUUAUGGACCCAAGAAAGAUUAUGGACCUAGUUCGAUACGAUUAGAAUCGGCUUGAGGUCUGUGAAUGGAUUUAAGUAUGAAUAUGGGCUCUACAUCAGGCCAGAUGUGUUCAUUUCAGCAUAGCGACUCCUUAUGGAAGAGUAUUCAGACGUUGGAUGUUAUUUCGUCAUCGGUUGUUUCAUGUAAUGUUAUAUUGUGCCGUGUGAGUUGUGAACGACUCAUUAAUUUUCUUAUGUGUUGAGGCUCCACGUAGCGAUGGUAUUCGGUAAGCUGGAUGGCUCUUUAGUUUCAGAACAUAUAUCUCACCUCAGUUGUGCUUGAGUUUGUUAGCUUAUGGCUAUAUGUCUCCCCAGGGAUGGUAUUAUGCACUUAGCGUGCUUGUGACUGAUACUCGGUAUUUUGUUGUAAUGAGCAAUUUAGCUCGGUGUGUAUCUCCUUAUCUAAAUUUAUGUGUGGAUCGUGUGGCAUGCCACCAUGGGUAUGUUAUUUGGAUUGGGUUACACACCGCAACAGUGUGAUUUUGAGUACAGUUCCCUAUUUAUUUCUAUGUGUUUUGUUUCCCAUUUUCUGAGGGAAGUUCAUAUUAGUCGCGUGAGUUGAGUAGUCACUUCCUGAGUUUGUUUUCCUUAUGUAUCACAUUAGUUCUUGCAGCCUACUGGCACGUUGCGGCAUCAUAUGGGACUUUUAAUCAUGACUAGGAUGGCAUAUUGCCUGAGCAGUUCGUACGGGGUGAGAUGAGAUCAUCGGAUCUAGGAUCGGUGCAGCCGGAUUAUAUGAAUUAUAAUAAAGAGCAAAGAUCAUUAUUUGGCCAGAAUGAGGUAAUAGUUCUUGUCAGAGGUGUAGACUCAAUGAUUUGUUGACUCAGUAGUUGGUUAUGAAUUUCCACGCAUCUCUUCCGUCCUGGCGGUAUUUCAAGAGUUGGGACAAGACUUAAAUAUAUCAUGAGGUGCAUUGUGAGCAUCAAAUUCGAAGAAUGUCGGCUAUUAUGAUCAGAGAAAUUUAUUAUGGUCAUGUGAAUGACGUGGUACAUAGUGUGAAUUCAGUAAAGGUAUGCAAUCUUGUAUCGAUGCAUCAUGUGGUGACUUUUACGUUGUUCAUAUGUUGAAAGAAGGCAUGGCAGAUAAUUUUGAAUGUUGAAACAAGGCUCUAAGGCUUAUGUACCUAAAUGAAAGAGGUUAUCUUUAGAUUUGAUCGAGUUAAUGUGCUCAGCUGAGUUGUGGUAGCACGGGUAGGUGCACGAGGUGUUAAGUAGUGAUUUCAGACUACUUCAGUGUAGUUCUCAGCACGUUCGAGGAUAAAUGUAUGUUUAAGUGGGAGAGAAUGUAAUGACCUGAUGAUAGGCUAUAAUUACGUAUUUUAGUCACUUAUUACAUUCAAAUUUACUGCACUUUAAUUGAGUUUGCGCUUUAAUCGCUAGUGUUUUGCAUCAAUUGUGUAUUUUAUGCCUUGUAGGAGUGAUUCCGAGCUAUAUAGAUGUUAUGGAGUGAAUUCAAGUGAUUUGGAGCUUUGAAGUCUGAAUAAAAGCUCAAGAAAUUAAGCCGGGAUCGUAUUCGGGGAUCAACAAAUGAUAGAGCAACAAAACGAAGAAUCGAGUAGGCAUAUUGCGCACUGUCUAGUAAAAUGCACAUCAAUUUUCGCUCAGAACUCCGUUUGGAUCCACAAUAUUUGGUUGGAAAGCUAACUCAAAGAUCUACAACUUUCAUGUUUUACGUUUUUCCAAAUUCCAAACGAAACAGGGUGAAAAACACGGUCGAAACCGCGACCGUGGACCUGACGCGGACAGAAACAGUAGCCAUGCAAUGUACCGUGCCCGUACCAAGGUUGACCGCGGCCGCGGCUGUCCAGACGUGAAAAACUAUCUUUUUUCGCCUGGGAGAAUGUAUAAUUAUUUGGGCCCGACCCUACUUGGUAUAUAUACAUGGAAAAACGGUAUUUUAAGUGUUUGGACACACUUUUGACAUAAUUUAGACCUAAUGAGACAGAGGAGACCAAUUUUUGACACACAUUCGACCUGAGGAGGCAGAGACACAAUAGGACCAAGGCGGAGAAUUCUUCUAUGAGUAGCUAAUUUGUUAUCUAGGGUUUUGAUGGAACCUUUUGUAGGAUAAAUUCUUGUUAUGUUUUUAUAUAAUUGAGUCGUUGAAUUUCUCUACUUGUUCAACUACGUGUUUAUUGUUGUUGAUUGAAUGGUCAUCGAUUGACUGUGCAUAUUUAUUAUGUGUUGCUUGAGAAAGGAUACAUAUUUAGGUGGUUGUUGAACAACGUCACUCUUAACGUAUGUGAGAAAUCAAUACGGCGGGUUUAAAAGCAGGUUUAGAAAUAACAAAGCCAUGAGGUAGUCAUAAGGAGCGGUUAGAUAAAGUCAACUAGCAUAGUUCGAGAGCAUGUGUCUAGUAAAUUGUUGUAGUUGCUCGAGAGAGAAUUACGACACCUAAAGUGCUCACGAUCAGUAGAGAAUAAAUUGGCAAAAUUGUAGGGAACAUAGCUAGAAGGAUUCCGACAAUUAGGAAAAUUAUAACUCUAGACCUCCUUAAUUUAGUCUCCAACCCUUUGUCUCGUUUGUUGAUAAUUUUACCGUUUUCUAGUAUUUGCUAGUUAAUUAGUUAGAAAUAUAAAUCUCAAUCUUUAUAAUUUAGAAAAUUGUUCAAACUUGUCUUUUUAUUGAUAUUAAACAGAUAUAGCUAAGCCUUAGUUCUCUGUGGGAUUCGAUUCCGGACUUUUAGAUCGGAUUAUAUUUGCAGCGACAACUUAUCCUUUUUAGGACUAAAGUUGGGCAUGAUAACGACCCAAUCGGUUGUUUUGAGCUCUAGCGUGUCGUUCAGCGGUUUGAGGCCCUGAGUAGCUUCACUUCAGGUAUUAUGACUUGUACGCAUGGUCGGAAUUGAAUUCCAGGAAAAUCGGAGUUGAUUUGGAGAGAGAAUUCUCAUUUUGGAAGCUUUAAGUCGAAAGAAAUGACUAAAAUUGGAUUUUUGAGUAAACGACCUCGGAAUUGAGAUUCAAAGGUUCCAGCAGGUUCGUAUGAUGAUUUCGGACUUGGGCAUGUGUCCGGAUCGAGUUUUGGAAGACCCGGGAACGUUUCGGCACCUAUUGUGGAAGUUAGCAUUUUUGGAAGAAUUUCAUAAGUUAGAGUUGAAGUGCAUUUCAGUGUUAUCAAUGUCCGUUUGGGAUUACGAGUCUGUGAAUAGCUCCGUAUGGUGAUUUUGGUAUUGGGAGCGCGAUCGGAAGUGAAAUUUGAGCUCCGUGGGUCAUUUUGGAGUCAUUUGGCUAAAGUUAGAAAUUUGAAGGUUUUUGAGGAGUUUGAUCGGAAGUGGACUUUUUGAUAUCGGGGUCGGAUUCCGAUUCAGAAAGUUAGGGUAGGUCUGUACUGUCAAGUAUGACUUGUGUGCAUAAUUUGAGGUCAAUCGGACGUGAUUUCAUAGGUUUAAACAUCGAAAGUAGAAGUUUGAAAUUUUAAAGUUCAUUAAGCUUGAAUCGGAGUGCGAUUUAUGAUUUUAGCAUUAUUUGAUGUGAUUUGCGGGCCUCGAGCAAGUCCGUGUUAUGUUUUUAGACUUGUGCGGGUGUUUGGUUUGGAGCCCCGGGGGCUCCGGUGAGGUUCGGAGUAGCUUCAGAGUGAUUUGUUAAGGAGUGGGAUUGCUGGUAUUGGUAUGACCGCAUUUGCGGUGUUUUGGCCGCAAAUGUGACCCUUACAUUUGCGAGCCUGGGCUGCUGUGGGAAAAGUUCGCAUUUGCGAACUAAAGGUCGCUUUUGCGAGGCUGGAACCUUCGGAUUUGCGAAGAAUCUGGUCGCAAAUGCGACCUGGGCAGGGAUGGCUUGGCUUCGCAUUUGCGAGCCGGAUGUUGCAAAUGCGACAUCUGCGACUGGAACUCAGGGCUUUUUAUCGUGAGACUUAUCCCUUUACCUUCAUUUUCCACUUGGUUUUAGGCCAUUUUUGGAGCUUUUGGAAGAGGGUUUUCACCUAGCACUUUGAGGUAAAUAAUUUCUACACAACAUGAGUUAAAUAUAUAGAUUAUGGAUAGAUUAACAUGUAAAAAUUGGUGAAAUCUAGGGUUUAGAUGAAAACCUAGGUUUUGUAUAAAAAUGAGAUUUGACCACGAAAAUGGUUAUGGAAUUUGGUAAAAAUCAUAUAUUUGACUUCAUAAGGUUAUGGGUAACAACUUUCUUCGAAAGAAUUUCGGAAUCCGGGCACGUGGGGCUGGGGGUGAAUUUUUGGAACCUUGCAUGUAGGGUUCGGAAAUUGGUUUAAUAAUUAGAAUAUGGACCUUUGUGCAUGUAUUGACUAGUUCUUACCCCAUUUGAAUAGUUUUGGAUCGUUCGGCUCCGAUUUGGAGAUUUGGGGCCGUUCUUGAAUUGGGAUAUAGGCUUCAGAGAGAGAUGAGUCUCCUUUCUAACCUUGUAAAAGGGAAGUAUCCCCAUAGGUGAAUUAAUUGGUUAUGUGCUUCUAUUUGUGGGGGUUGCGUACGCACGAGGUGACGAGAGUCUGUGCGUAGCUACUAUUAUGUUUAUGUCCGGGUAGUUUGGGACCCAAAAUCAUGCUUUACUUGCAAUAUUUGAAAUCUUGUUGUCAAUUUAAAAACGCUUAAAACAUAUCGAACGUGUAAAUGAAUUUCUAAAAGACUAGUCAUCGUUUCUUGAUUUUUAGAAGAGAAAUUGUCUUUUCUUGGAUAAUUGCUCCUUGAUGAGUUCUUGGUUGACGGUUUGAUUGUGUUUAUAUAUUGUGGAACGGGCCAAACGCCUCGAUAGAUUAAAUAGAUGCAUUUAUUGUUAGCGCCAUUCGAACCUAUGGCAGUACACAGUUUAAAUAUUAAUGGAUUGGGCCGUACGUCCUCGUCAUGAUUUAUGCAUGCUUGUAAUGUCUGCUUUGAAAUUUAUAAAUGUUGAUAUUUGUUCUCCCUGGCCUGAGAUAAAUGUAUAAAUGAUGAAAAAGAAUUUGAGAAUUUCCUAUAAAAGAAAGAAUUGUUUACUUGCUUCAUUCUAUUGAGUUACAACCCUGUUAAUAAAAAUCCUUGAUUUAUUAUAAUAUUGGUGUAUCAUUAUUGGACCACUAGUAAGUGUCAAAGUCGACCUCUCGUCUCUGCUUCUUCGAGAUUAGACGGGAUACUUACUGAGUACACGUUGUUUUUGUACUCAUGCUACACUUGCUGUGCAUUUUUGUUGCACAGGCACAUGUACCUCUAGCGGCCUGAUGAGCGUAGCAGCAUGGAUGAUACAGAGACUCAGGUGACUGCAUCUCUCGAGGCGGCCCGCAACCGGCGUAGUCUCUUUCAGUGUAUAGUAUCUACCUUCUGUCCAAAUAUGUAUUCCGGACAGUUAUUAUACUUCUUGAUUUUCAUAGAAUAUAGCUUAUGCACUUGUGACACCAGGUUCUGGGAUGAGAAUGAGAUUAUUCAUUAUUUAGUUUGUUAAAGACAUUCUCUUAUUUCAGUGAAAUUCAUUAUUUAUUGUUUAAUGUAUACAAUAAAUAUUUUCAAUAAAUACUAAAAUAAAAAUUCAAUUAACUUUUUGGUGAUUGGCUUGCCUGACAAUGUUGUCCGGCGCCAUCAUAACCCUUAGUGGAUUUUGGGCCAUGACAUAUAUAUAACUACAACAGAAUACAACUUAAAUGUAUUUUACAUACAACUUUAAUACAUCUUCUUCAUCUUCGAGUUUCAAUAUGAAAAUUCAUCCAAAUUCAACUCUAAUCUUCAUCAAAUACCCUCAAAAUUAAGAUAUAAACUCCAAAGAAUAAUCCUGAUCGUUUACAGUAGGACCCAAUCAAAACAAAUAAUAAUAUUUUUCUUAAAAAUCUAGUUCUCUUCUCUUUUCUAAUCUCCUCCCCCCAGAGAAUUCAAUAAUAGAUGGUAAUUUUGAUUCUCUCUUUGAACGCAACUUUAUCUGUUUCUCAAGUAUAUACUCGUUUGUGUGGGAACUUCCGAAUGCAGAUUAGUAGAAGAGAUCAGAGCGUGAAAAUAAAGAGAGAGGAGAGAGAUAUGGAAUUUGAUUUCCUCAUUAAAAGGCUACAAUCAAGGAUACUUAUUUAAAAUUUAUUUGUAUAUAAAUAGUAAAUUGUAUAUCAAGUUGUAAUUAAGUAAAACCUAAAAAAUAAGGGUAAAUAAGUUUCUAAUGUUGUACAUAUAAGUAAAAAUACCUUAAAAAAUUGCCAUUAUCCUUGUCGUAUAAAUAUUGAAGACAAUAGCCAUUUUUAUACUACUAUGUUUAAGGGCAUCGAUGAGAUUAACAAGUUUUAACAAAUCUGUCUUAUUUGCAAAAUGUUGAAAGCAAAUAAGGAGCACGUACGCACUAGAAAAGCACGUACAUACGUUACAAAUAUUACUAGCUAGCUUAUUCCAUGUGAUGGUGUCGAUGAAAGUGAUGAGAAUUGGCAGCUUGCUUCUGGUGAUUAUUCUCAAGGUGGUGCUGAUGUUGAUGAUUAUGGAGAUAAUAUGUACUUCUAUUUGCAUUAUUUACUGAUAAUAUUGGUCUACCCAUUUCAGACCACCCUCUACUAGGGUUUCUUGUCAGCUCUAGCAAGGAGUCCCUCACAUGAUCAGCUUGAACCAUUUCAUUAUCCCUUUUCUAGUUUAACAUACUGUUGGGAAUAAACGCCCUACAGAAAUAAUAUUCACGAUAAUAAAAGCAGAAUAAUAACGUAGCACCUAAGAUACGGUAAUUAACAAGAAUAAAAGAGGAACAACGACACCAAGAUUUUUACGUGAAAAACCCUUCUUGAAUAAGGAAAAAAGCCACGACACUCAGAGGAUCAACUGAUAUCACUUUAGCAAGGGAUUUUACACUUUGUAGUUCCGAGUAAAAUACUCCAAAGACCACUACAAAACUCAAAAGAAAUAACCAUCUUUUGAUAUUUCCAUCUCACUAUAAUAUCGCUCACUCUCUAUUUUUCUCAUAGACUAUUUCCUUAUACCCUGUCUGUGAAACCUCACUCUUUCUUUCUAACUCUCAGAUAUAUUUUCCUCUGAGAUUGGGUGUAUCGAGAUGAGAGCUGAAGCUCUCCUUUUAUUUGCAGAGCCUCACUCUCUCACGCCUACCCUAUUUGCCAUUUUCCUUUCUACAUAACCUACCACAUUUGACACAACCUACAAUGUUGACAAUGCAAAAACAAAGGUGGCUGACAAUAUACAAAAAAAAGACAAAGGAAGAAAGUUAUCUUCCUUAAUUGAUGGGAUGGACCCCACAAAUCUCCCCCUCCAGUCCCAUUCACCUGAAGGAGGUAACACCGGAGAUUCUAGUUUGAGUGCAUGCCGACAAGUUCUUUGCAUAGCUCAAACUUGUCUCUUGGUACCACUUUAGUCAACAUAUCCGAAGGAUUCUCACUUGUAUGGAUCUUCUUGACCUGCAUAGAUCCAUCCUCUAUCCUUUCUCGAAUCCAGUGAUAUCUCACGUUGAUAUGCUUCGUCCUUGCAUGAUAUAUGGUGUUUCUGCUCAGGUCUAUUGCACUUUGACUGUCACAAUAGAUGACAUACUCAUUUUGAUGUAAUCCAAGUUCUCGAAGGAGCCGUUUAAGCCAAACCAUCUCAUUGCCAGCUUUAGUAGCGACAAUAUAUUUUGCUUCAGUUGUAGAGAGUGCAACACACUUCUGUAACUUUGACUUCUAUGAUAUAGCUCCCUGAAAAUGUGAACAGGUAUCCUAUAGUAGAUUUAUGAUUAUUAAGAUCACCUGCCAUAUCAACAUCCAUAUAACCCUUCAAGAUUGGAUCAGAUCCUCCAAAACACAAGCAAUCUCCUAAUGUACCUCUUAGGUACCUGAGUAUCCAUUUGAUUGCUUCCCAAUGUUCCUUUCCAGGAUUUUCAAGGAAUCUACUAACAACACCAACUGCAUAAGCAAUAUCAUGUCUGGUGCAUACCAUUGCAUACAUCAAGCUUCCGACUGCUGAAGAAUAAGGACCUCUAGCCAUGUUCCCUUUCUCCUCCACUGUUAUAGGACACAUCUUCUUGAUCAACUUUAGAUGACUAGCAAGAGGUGUGCUAACUGGCUUAGAAUUCUUCAUGUUGUACUUCUCUUGAAAUAGCCACAACUUUUUGCUUGUUCGCUCUCGAACUAUCUUCAUACCUAGAAUUUGUUGUCCGGGGCCCAAGUCCUUCAUAUCAAAUUACUUGGACGAUCUCCCUUCAACUUUGCGAUUAGCUCCUUGUCUUGUCCUACAAUUAACAUGUCAUCCACAUACAACAACAAUAAAAUAAAAUUAUUUUUAGAAAAUAUUUUGAAGUAUACACAUGGAUCAGAAUAGGUCUUUAUGUAUGUUUGACUUUUCAUGAAUGAGUCAAAUUUCAUGUACCAUUGCAUUGGUGCCUGCUUCAAUCUAUAAAGACCUUAUUCAAUUUGCACAUCAUGUGUUUCUUUCCAGCUACUUCAAAUCCUUCUGGCUGCUCCAUAUAAAUCUCCUAUUCCAAAUCUCUAUGAAGAAAUGCAGUUUUCAUAUCCAACUGCUCCACUUCAAGAUAUAGGCUAACUGCUAAGCUCAAAAUUGUUCGAAUAGAAGUCAUUUUGAGAACAGGUGAGAAAAUUUCAUCAAAAUGAAUAACCUUUUCUAUUCGAAGCCUUUAACCAUCGAUCGAGCUUUGUAUCUAGUUAGCUUGCUAUUUCCAUCUUUCUUGAGUUUAAAGACUCAUUUGCAUUUGAGUGGUCUUUUACCUUUUGGAAGUUCAACUAGCUUGUAUGUGCCAUUUUUCUGUAGAGAUUCCAUCUCUUCUUGCAUGGCUUUCAUCCACAGCUUCUUUUCUGGAUGGGACAACACCUCCUUAAGACUUUCUGACUCCCCUUCAUCAAUGAUGAGGACAUACUCUAUGGAAGGGUACCUGCAAGACUCUACCCUUGGCCUCUCUGAUCUCCUUAGAGGUUGAGGUUGUUCUUCUUCCUGAGUAGGCUACUCCCCUUGCUCGACAUUAUCAUCAAUUUGCUCCCCCUGCUCAAUAACCUCACCAGGUUGCUCCCCCUGCCCGACAAACUCGUCUGUUGUACUUUUCACACUUGUGGGAUAGUUAGAAGAAGAAGGAAUGCUAACAAGGUUAGGGAUUAUACCAUUCUUUGUCUUCUCUGACCGGUCAUCUACAGUUUCACCUUCACUUUCUCGGAAGACUACAUCUCUGCUUCUUAUGACCUUCUUCUUUACAGGAUCCCACAAUUUGUAUCCAAACUCUUCAUCUCCAUAUCCGAUGAAUAUGGAGGGAAUGGAUUUAUCAUCCAUCUUUGUUCUUUGCUCCUUUGGUACAUGUGCAAAAGCUCUGCAACCGAACACCUUCAGAUGCGAGUAGGACAUCUUAUUGUUGGUCCAAACUCUCUCUAGGAUGUCAAACGCCAAUGGAACUAAUGGAAUCCUAUUGAUCAGGUAACAUGCUGUCUGAACUGCUUCACCCCAGAAUGACUUAGGCAGUUUAGCCAUUAUGAGCAUGCUUCUCACCUUCUAAAUAAUGGUGUGGUUCAUCCUUUUGGCUACGCCAUUGUGCCGUGGGGUUCUAGGAACUGUCUUUUCAUGUCUGAUCCCAUGACUUGAACGAUACUCUUCAAAUUCCCUUGAAGUGUACUCACCUCUAUUGUCACUUAGGAGAUGCUUUAGCUUUCGACCGUCUCCCUUUCUACCAGAGCAUGAAACUUCUGGAAAACUUGAAACACCUGAUCUUUGGUUUUCAAAAUAUAAACCCAUAAUUUUCAUGAAGCAUCAUCAAUAAAAGUAACAAAAUAUUUGGUACUACCCACUGAUUCAAUUUCCAUUGGACCAUAAACAUUAGAAUAUACUAAAUCAAGUAUAUUAAAUUUUUUUAGAUGAUGUCUGAAAGGAGACUGUAUGCUGCUUACCAAAUAAACAGUAGUCACAAGGUUUUACCGUUGUACCUUUGGAAUAAGAAAUGACUGAUUGCUUGGCAAGAAUAUGCAAUCCCUUCUCGCUCAUAUGACCCAUUCUUUUGUGCCACAAAUAUGCAGAAAUCUCAUCUUGCACCGCGUUCAAUUCACCUUGGCAUAUUUCGGCAUUUGUUCUGUACAAUGUGCCACAAGCAAUUCCCUUUGCAAUCACCAAUGAUCCCUUGGUGAGUCUCCACUUUUUAUUUGCAAAAUAGUUCUCGUACCCAUCUCGGUCUAAAGCAAUUCUUGGGAUCAAAUUCAUCCGCAAAUCAGGUACAUGCCACAUGUCCUUUAGAACCAAUAUACAUACGACAUUUGUCUUUAUACAAAUGUCACCAAUCCCUGCAAUCUUUGAGUAACUUGUAUUACCCAUUCUCACAGUGACAAAAGCACCUGCUAUAUGUGUGUAAAAAAUAUCUCUUACCGGUAUUGCAUGGUAAAAUGUCGUUGUGUCAACCACCCAUUCUGACUCUGGACCUGACAGGUGCAUGUAUUACUCUUUCUCAUUUAUAAAGAGGACAACCUUAUCAUUGUUUUGCACCAUGGCAGUAAUGUUAUCGUCAUUCUUCUGGCCACUUGUUUCACCUUUGGCCUUUUUUGGAUUUGGGCAAUCUCUUUUGAAGUGACCUGGUUGAUCCCAAUUGUAGCAAUUUCUGGCUCUUAAUUUGGAUAGGUUCUUAGAGUUCCCACGAGCUCCGGAUCUACCAUAGUUGCUCGAACUCUUUUGAUAACUCAUGCCUCUACCUUCCGUGAUGAGAGCCUGUCCUUGAUUUUCAGGCUUGUUUCUCAUCAUCUCAUUGAGUAGAAAAGUCGAUGUGACAUCUUUUAACUCAAUGGUAGUCUUACCGUACAGGAUGGUUGUUGCCAAAUUAUCGUAUGAAGAUGGCAACGAGUUCAAUAACAAAAUCGCUUUAUCUUCUUCCUCGAUUUUCACUCGAAGGUUGGCGAGCUGCGUGAUUCGUUCAUUAAACACAUUUAAAUGUGCCAAAAAUCCAUACCUUCACCCAUGUGUAGGGCGUAUAACUGCUUCUUCAACUAUAAUUUAUUUGUCAGUGUUUUGGACAUGUAUAGGCUUUCCAACGUUGUCCAAAUUACACGUGCGGUGUCUUCAUCAAUGUUGUUAUUCACCACAUCAUCUAAUAAGUGCAACCUAAUUGUACUAGUAGCCCUUUCAUCCAAGUCAUAUCAAUCCUCAGCUUUCAUGGUAUCAAGCUUUUUAGCAUCAUCAUCUAGUACUUUGUGUAAUCCUUGUUGGAUGAUCAGAUCCCUCAUCCUUCUUUGCCAUGUUGAGAAACCGCUAUCUCUAUUAAACUUUGCUACCUCGUACUUUACUCUGGAUAUUUUUUCUUUUUCACCGAGUAUAGUACUACCGAGAGUGAAUAGUAUUUCAAUGAAUGAGCAGAACCUGUGCUCUGAUACCAGUUGUUGGGAAUCAACCCCCUACAGAAAUAAUAUUCACGGUAAUAAAAGAGGAAUAAUAACGUAGCACCUAAGAUACGGUAAUUAACAAGAAUAAAAGAGUAACAACGACACCAAGAUUUUUACGUGGAAAACCCUUCUUGAAUAAGGAAAAAAGUCACGGUCCUCAGAGGAUCAUCUGACAUCACUAUAGCAAGGAAUUUUACACUUUGUAGUUCUGAGUAAAAUACUCUAAAGACCACUACAAAACUCAAAAGAAAUAACCCUCUUUUGAUAUUUCCAUCUCACUAUAAUAUCGCUCACUCUCUAUUUUUCUCACAGACUAUUUUCUUAUACCCUAUCUGUGAAACCUCACUCUUUCUUUCUAACUCUCAAAUAUAUUUUUCCUCUGAGAUUGGGUGUAUCGAGAUGAGAGCUGAAGCUCUCCUUUUAUUUGCAGAGCCUCACUCUCUCACGCCUACCAUAUUUGCCAUUUUUCCUUUCUGCAUAACCUACCACAUUUGACACUACCUACAAUGUUGACAAUCCAAAAACAAAAGUGGCUGACAAUAUACAAAAAAAAAGACAAAGGAAGAAAGUUAUCUUCCUUAAUUUAUGGGAUGAUGUCACGACCCCAAAUAUACUAAGGGUCGUGAUGGCGUCGGACACCGCUGUCAGACAAGCCAACCAUAAAUACUUAAAUAAAUUCUCAUUUAAACAAUUGUGAAUAACUCUGAUUUUUUUUAAUUUUUACUAGUAAAAGAUACUCUGUUCAAAUUAAAUAUACAUGUCAUGAAGUCAAUACAAAAUACCCCAUCACUAUCCCAGAACCCCGUGUCACAAGUGCAUAAGCUAUUUCUAGGAAGCAAUACAAUACAACAACCGUCCGGAAUACAAAUUGGACAGAAAAUAAAUACAAUAAUCCGGAAGAGAUUCUGCUGGCUGCGGGUCAUCUCGAGAAGUGCAGCUCACCUAAGUCUCCGCAUCAACCAUGCUGCUACGCCCGCCAGGUCACUAGUGAUGCAUGUGCCUGUGCAACAAAAAUUCAUAGCAAGUGUAGUAUGAGUACGAAAACAAUGUGUACCCAAUGAGUAUCCCGUCUAAUCUUGAAGAAGUAGAAACGAGAGGUCAACUUCGACACUUACUAGUGGUCUAAUAAUGAUACAUCCGUAAUAUAAUGAAUCGAGGAUUUAUAUAAACAAGAUUAGUAAUUCAAUAGGGUGAAACAUGUAAACAAUUCUUUCUUUUAUGUGAAAUUUCCAAAUUUCCUUUUUCAUCAUUUAUACACAUACUCUCAAGCUGGGAAGGGGCAAUAACAACUUCAAUAAGUUUCACGGCAAGACAUACAAGCAUGCGCAAAUCAUGUCGAGGUCGUACGGCCCGAUCCAACAGAAAUGUAAAAUGUGCACUGCUAGAGGGUCGAAUGGCACGAACCAUAGAUGUAUCUAUUUAAUCUACCGAGACAUUCAGACCGCUCCGAAAUUAAACACAGACAGACAGUUAAUCAAGAAGUCAACAGGGAACAAUUAUCCAAAGAAACGCCAAUUCUCUUUUAUAGAUUUUUGAAAAUGAAGUUUAAAUCUUUUUAGAAAUUCAUUUACAAAUCCAAUAUGAUUUAAGCAAUUCAAACGGUCAUCAAGGUUACAAGUAUUCCAAGUAUAGCAUGCUUUUGGGUCCUAGACUACCCGAACUUACACAUAAUAGUAGCUACGCACGGACUCUCCUCACCUCGUGCGUACGUAGCACCCACAAAUAGGAGCACAUAACCAAUUAUUUCACAUAUGGGGACAAUUCCCUCUUACAAGGUUAGAAAGGAGACUCACCUCGCUCCGAAGCCUAUAUUUCAAUUCAAGAACGUGCUCAAACCUUCAAUUUGGNNNNNNNNNNNNNNNNNNNNNNNNNNNNNNNNNNNNNNNNNNNNNNNNNNNNNNNNNNNNNNNNNNNNNNNNNNNNNNNNNNNNNNNNNNNNNNNNNNNNNNNNNNNNNNNNNNNNNNNNNNNNNNNNNNNNNNNNNNNNNNNNNNNNNNNNNNNNNNNGUCCGAUUGACCUCAAAUUUUGCACGCAAGUCAUAUUUACCAUUACAGACCUACUCCAACUUUCGGAAUCGAAAUCCGACCCCGAUAUCAAAAAGUCCACUUCCGAUCAAUCUUCUCAAAAACCUUCAAAUUUCUAUCUUUAGCCAAAUGACUCCAAAUUGACCUACGGACCUCCGAAUUCACUUCCGAUCAUGCUCCCAACUCCAGAAUCACUAUACAGAGCUACUCCCAGACUCGAAAUCCCAAACGGACAUCGAUAACACUGAAAUGCACUUCAACCCAAACUUAUGAAAUUUCUUCCAAAAUGCUAACUUCCACAAUAGGCGCCAAAACGUUCCCGGGUCUUCCAAAACCCGAUCCGGACAUAUGCCCAAGUCCGAAAUCAUCAUACGAACCUGUUGGUACCUUCAAAUCCCGAUUCCGAGGUUGUUUACUCAAAAGUCUAAUCUUAGCUAAUUCUUUCAACUUAAAGCUUCCGAAAUGAGAAUUCUCUUUCCAAAUCAACUCCAAACUUCCCGGAAUUCAAUUCUGACCGUGCACACAAGUCAUAAUACCUGAAGUGAAGCUACUUAUGGCCUCAAACUGCUGAACGACGCGCUAGAGCUCAAAAUGUCCGGUUGGGUCGUUACAUUCUCUCCCACUUAAACAUACGUUCGUCCUCGAACGUGCUAAGAACUAUGCUGGAGUUGUCCGAAAUCACUAUUUAAUACCUCGAGCACCUAUCCGUGCUACCACAACUCUGUUGAGAACCCUAGCUCGAUCAAUCUGAAGAUGUCCUUUUUCACUUAAGCAACUAAACCUUAGAGCCCAAUUCCAACAUCCGGAAUUCUCUGCCAGGCCUGUUUUAGCAUACGCUCACCGAGUCAAUAACUACACGCAACUCCAAAACAUGACUGCAUACCUUGGCUGAACUCACACCUUGCACCACUUUACUCACAUGAUCAGAAUAACAUUCUUCAAUUAAUUUAGUCAAAAUUCCACGAAUCUGAUGCUCCCAUUGCACCUCAUGAUAUAUAUAAGUCUUGCUAUAACUCUUAUAAUACCGCCACGAUGGAAGAGAUGUGUAGAAAUUCAUAACCAACUACUAGAUCAAUNNNNNNNNNNNNNNNNNNNNNNNNNUAUUCUAAUUAGUAAAUUAAUUUCCCAACCCUAAAUGCAAGGUUCAUAAAAUUCAUCCCCGGGCCCACAUGCCCGAAUUCCGGAAUAUUUUGAAGGAAAUUGUUACCCAUGACCUAAAGAUCAAGAAUAUAUGAUUUUUACAACAUUCCCUAACAAACUUUGUGGUUAAAUCUUGUUAAAAUUCUAGGUUUUCCAUCUAAAACCUUGAUUUUUCCUAAUUUUCACAUGUUAAUCUACCCAUAAUCUAUGUAUUUAACUUAUGAUGUGUAGAAAUUACUUACCUCUUUGAUGAUGAUGGAAUCCCUCCUCAAAUGCUCUAAAAAAUCGCCUAAGGCCAAGUGGGAAAUGAGGGAAAUGGGCUAAGUCUCAGAAUACUGUACCAGACGCAGAAGUCGCAUUUGCGACUCCAGGCUCGCAAUUGCGAGGUCACAUUUGCGACGAAUGCACCGCAAAUGCGAAGCCCAGCUUGCCCUGCCAUGGUCGCAUUUGCGACAAAAUUCUUCGCAAAUGCGAAGAGGACAUCAUCGCAAAAGCGAUGGCCCUCUCGCAAAUGCGAUCUCCCCUCAGCAGCCCCCAGGUUCGCAAAUGCGAGCCCCCUCUCGAAAAUGCGAUGUCGCAUUUGCGACCCAAACACUGCAAAUGCGGUCAUACCAGUACCAACAGAAUCAAACCUUCUCCAAAUUCCAUUUUUGAUCCGUUAACCAUCCGGAAUCCACCCGAGGCCCCCGGGACCCCAACCAAUCAUACCAACCAGUCCCAAAACAUAUUACGGACUUGCUCGAGGCUUCAAAUCAUAUCGAACAACGCUANNNNNNNNNNNNNNNNNNNNNNNNNNNNNNNNNNNNNNNNNNNNNNNNNNNNNNNNNNNNNNNNNNNNNNNNNNNNNNNNNNNNNNNNNNNNNNNNNNNNNNNNNNNNNNNNNNNNNNNNNNNNNNNNNNNNNNNNNNNNNNNNNNNNNNNNNNNNNNNNNNNNNNNNNNNNNNNNNNNNNNNNNNNNNNNNNNNNNNNNNNNNNNNNNNNNNNNNNNNNNNNNNNNNNNNNNNNNNNNNNNNNNNNNNNNNNNNNNNNNAUAUUGCACUGAUCCUAAAUCCAAUGAUCUCGUCUCACCCAGUACGAACUGCUCAGGUAAUAAGCCAUCCCGGACAUGAUCAAAAGUCUCAUAUGAUGCCACAAUGUGCCAAUAGGCUACCAAUUCGAACGUGAUACAAAGGAAAAUGAACUCUGAAAAGGAAAUCCAAUUGCCCUGCUCACGAAUCAUACAUGCGACGCUGUCAACAUAAUUAAACAAACACCCCGUUCGCGAAUCAUGCAUGCGACGCGGGCACACAACUAAUAUGAGUUUUCCUCAGAAAUAUAGGAAACAAAACACAUAAAAACAUAUAUAGGAAUCUGUACUCAACAUCACGCUAUUGCGGCGCGCAACCCGUUCCAAACAACAUACCCGUGGCGGCGUGCCACCCGAUCCACACAUAAAAUUCACAAAGGAGUUACACACCGAGCCAGAUUGCUCAUUACAACAAGAUACGGAAUAUCGGUCACAAGCACACUAAGUGCAUAAUACCAUCCCUGGGGAGACAUAUAGCGUUGUAGGCUACAAAACCCAAGCACAACUGAGGUGCGAUAUACGAUCUGAAUCUCGAGAGCCAUCUUGCUCACAUAACAUCAUCUCUGCGCGAAACCUCAACGCAUAAGAAAUUCACCAAGUCAUCUCGCAACUCAUACUAUGCAAUAUAUCAUUACAUGAAAUAGCCGACGACGAAAUAGUACCCCAACUACUCUUUCAUAAGGAGCGCAUUGCUGAAAUGAACACAUCUGGCCUGAUAUAGAGCCCAUAUUCACAUUUAGAUCCAUCCACAGACCUCAAGUUGAUUCUGAUCACACUGAACUAGUCUAAUAACCUUUCAAAGGUCCAUAAUAACUCCCGUUUUUCUCAUAACACCCGAGAACUACCAUCAUGACCAGAGUAAUCCUCCACAAUACACAACCCAAUAAACCGAGUGCCCUCCAGGCAUCAAUUCUCAAUUUAGCGACAUCACUACAAUCUUCAUACUUGGUUUAACUCUUGAAUCAAUCAAGUGACUACAUGCCACACUUAUAUAACCUUCCCGUGGGGCACGCUCCCACAACCUUCUGUAACAGAUAACAGGUAUGUACAUCCAAACCACCAGUCGUACUAAACCUGAAAAGUGAUCAAGAAUCCUUAACCAGGAUGCAAAGCCUUUUUCGCAAAGCACCAAUCUUAGGUGACAUUGAGGACAAUACCAACUUACUUUAAACAUCGAAACUCCCUUCCUACUCAUCCGAGCCCGUGACAUCCUUGUCAACACCGAACUGCAACCUUGAUCCUUACUUCAAUUUCCAUGCCACUUACUGCACCUAUCAUGCCAAUAUGCGAUAGAACACGAUUUUCAUCAUAACUCUCGAACCACUAAUAAGUUAAUGCUUCAUCAUAUAAAAACUUUUCACUAAACUCACUUCAGGAGAACCAUAGUAACACACAGGUGAAUUCUCAUAACCGUAGAAUAUGCAAAUCUCUAAGUAGUGGUAUAAGCCACCAUAGCCCUUCCGGGAUCUGCCUCCACAUAAUAGGCCAUAAUAGUAGAAUGCUUCUGAAUAACAUCAAUUACGGUGGCCGACAAGCCUCACACGUUCCGUCACAAUAACUUGCAUAACUUGAUCACGCUGAAGGAACUGAUCACUACCACCAAUAUUCCAACUCAACUAUGGCUAACCAAUCUAUCUUCUUCAAUUUAUCCUUGAUUGCCUUAGAAAUAAUAAUAACUACAUUCAACGCAUAACGCACUCCAUCCGCACUCAUCCCGAGUGACCUUGAAUCACGAGACCAUGCUAUCUCAAAUCCCACGAACCAUUUCAUACUCCCCAAUGGCUACACUGCAAGUCAAAACAUCAUAGGAUAUUCUAUUCCUCAUCUCAUAAGCUGCUACAAAGCUUUCUUCUUAACCGUACCUAUAGGCUCGAAAUCAUUAGGCACCACACUUUACCCCUUUGAAUCCACUAGGGAUAUUGUUGAGAGCCACCCGCUCUGACUUGGCCCCGAAUAUAAUCAACUCUAUAAAUCUUCUAGAACAUGAAUACCCUCUCAACGAAGCACCUGGCAGAAUCACUUCCCUUGAAACCCGCACCUAUACAAGGCAUAAAUCUUGAAUCCUUCCCCAAGUCUGAACGUGAGCUAAUAAGGCCAACCAUAGCACACCUUUAGCAAUUCUUUUGCUCAAAUUACCACUUAUGUUCUUUUCCUGUAGCUAAAAUAACCCAUCAAUAUGCUAAUAACCAUAAACCUCGCAAUUAGUUAACCAUGCAACCCAAUCAUAGGCGGAGGGACUCUCCCACAUAGCUCGAAACCACUAUUACAUAACUCUGGAAUUCACCAGGAUUCUUUAUCUCUUAUUGACAUAACCUUGCGCAAUCAACCGCUAAAAUUUUGGGAAUCUUCCUGUAAAACCCUUUUUAUACUCUGAAUCAUCAGCCACAUUCGCACGACCGAUCUCUUUGUUGUACAACCAAUAGAAUUCUUCACAAAAGCCUCACCAACCACGCGACCGCUAACCUGCUCAUAGGGAAUAACCCACCUGUGGAAAUCACUUCCCGACAUCUUCCAACGCUACUACACGGGGUACAAUCACUACGACAUCAAUAACUCAUCCUGAGUUCGGGCUCACUCUCUAGCUGCACAAGUCCAUUCACCCCUCGUGGACAUCAAUUAAAUGUGCGGCAACAUCCUUCCAAUUCAAAGUUAUGUUGUAUCCUUCUUCAUUUCAAGAAGCUCUUUCCCGUUAUAUCAAAUCUUCUGCCGCAUAAUAGCCCAUACUUCAAAUUAAAUCCGUAGACCCAAUCACCAAUCACUAAAAUUCCCAAAUCAUUCCGAACUCUCCUUAAGGUGCAUAGUCAUCCUACCACAAAGCCCACACGCAACUCCGCCACUAUCCCACUUUGGAGGAACUCACCCCUUUAAUCGACUACUCGGCCUUUGCUUCUUAUAACUCGCCUUCUAGAAAUUUUAACCACCGCCUGACAUUCCUCACAUGUCCUUUUCUCAUCCUCCGCUGCUCAGUUGUUGCCUUAAAUUAAAUCUAUCUUCGCAGCACUUGAACCCUCAAAUCGCUAGUAACCUUAAACUUUUUCGAAGAAAAUCUUUCUCGAGUCGUCAACAUUAGAAACACCGAUUCAAUCCUGAACCACCGUACCCCGCGAUCUUUGAUAGUCGUUUCUCCCAUAUUAUUUCAUAAUAUCUUACCCCAAAGGCGAAUUGCAGAAAACCAUAACACCGGCGAAAUUAACACAUACAAUCGAGGACAACGACACUACAUCGGAGAUGAAAAUUCCACCACGCUCGAAAAUACCAAGUCUCGUUACUCUACCACCCCAAAUCUGGACAUUCAUAGGCCAAUUGCUUUUCCUCCGCCGGAAAUGAAAUAUCAGAUCUCUGAACCGUGCACUGAGUAGACUUCCUUUCAAAUUAUUCACCGCCCCAACACAUAGGCAAGUAUCCUACCAUCAAGUCAAUACUGUGCGAUAACCAAUCAUGAGUAAUCAUAGCGAUCUGUGCAUAGUCUCAAAGAUCUCAGGAAUACUGUUACUGACCUGAAAUGACAAGAUAUCCUCCCGCAAGGCAACGACAAUAACCCAAUCAACAAUAUGGGGAGAAACAUCCCGCACCAUAUCUGUAGUGCCAUUACAAUCCUUCAAUUCUCAAUUUAUAACCAGCAGUUCGCGUCGCGUAAGAUUGAGUAGGAAGGAAACAAUGGCAUAAGUCUCAAGGAAUCAAAGCCGCACGAUAAGGAAUCAAGAAGGGAAGUACUCCUAACAACCCUGUAGCCUCUCAAAGAUAAGUACAGACGUUUCUGUACCGAUUCGCAAGACUCUACUACACUCACUCAUGACUCAUGAUACCUAAGGAAACCUAGUGCUCUGAUACCAUAUUGUCACGACCCCAAAUGUACUAAGGGUCAUGAUGGCGCCGGACACCGCUGUCAAGCAAGCCAACCAUAAAUGCUUAAUUAAAUUCUCAUUUAAACAAUUGUGAAAAACUCUAAUUUUUCUUCAAUUUUUACUAGUAAAAGAUACUCAGUUCAAAUUAAAUAUACAUGUCAAGAAGUCAAUACAAAAUACCCUAUAACUAUCCCAGAAUCUGGUGUCACAAGUGCAUGAGCUAUUUUUAGGAAGCAAUACAAUACAACAACUGUCCGGAAUACAAAUUGGACAGAAAAUAAAUACAAUAAGCUGGAAGAGACUCUGCUGACUGCGAGUCAUCUCGAGAAGUGCAGCUCACCUAAGUCUCCGCAUCAACCAUGCUGCUACGCCCGCCAGGCCACUAGUGAUGCAUGUGCCUGUGCAACAAAAGUGCACAACAAGUAUAGUAUGAGUAUGAAAAUAACGUGUACCCAAUGAGUAUCCCAUCUAAUCUCGAAAAAGUAGGGAUGAGAGGUCGACUUCGACACUUUCUAGUGUUAUUAAUGAAUCGAGGAUUUAUAUAAAUAGGAUUUGUAAUUCAAUAGGGUAAAACAUGUAAACAAUUCUUUCUUUUAUGUGAAAUUUCCAAAUUUCCUUUUUCAUCAUUUAUACACAUAUUCUCAAGCCGGGAAAGGGCAAUAACAACUUCAAUAAGUUUCACGGAAAGAAAUACAAGCAUGCACAAAUCAUGCCGAGGUCGUACGACCCGAUCCAAUAGAAAUGUAAAAUGUGCACUGCUAGAGGGUUGAAUGACGCGAACCAUAGAUGCAUCUAUUUAAUCUACUGACGCGUUCGGCUCGCUCUAAAAUUAAACACACAUAGACAGUCAAUCAAGAAUUCAACAGGGAACAAUUAUCCAAAGAAACGCCAAUUCUCUUUUAAAGAUUUUUGAAAAUGAAGUUUAAAUCUUUUUUAGAAAUUCAUUUACUAAUCCAAUAUGAUUUAAGCAAUUAAAACGGUCAUCAAGGUUACAAGUAUUCCAAGUAUAGCAUGCUUUUGGGUCCUAAACUACCCGGACUUACACAUAAUAGUAGCUACGCACGUACUCUCCUCACCUCGUGCGUACGUAGCCCGCACAAAUAGGAGCACAUAACCAAUUAUUUCACCUAUGGGGAUAAUUCCCUCUUACAAGGUUAGAAAGGAGACUUACCUCGCUUCGAAGCCUAUAUUCCGAUUCAAGAACGCGCUCAAACCUCCAAUUUGGAGCCGAACGAUCCAAAACUAUUCAAAUAAGGUAAGAACUAGUCAAUACAUGCUCAAAAGUUCAUAUUCUAAUUAUUAAACCAAUUUCCCAACCCUAAAUGCAAGGUUCCUAAAAUUCAUCCCCGCGCCCACGUGCCCGGAUUCCGGAAAUAUUUGAAGGAAAUUGUUACCCAUAACCUAAGGAUCAAGAAUAUAUGAUUUUUACUCCAUUCGAUAACAAACUUCGUGGUUAAAUAUUGUUUUUACCAAAUUCUAGGUUUUUCAUCUAAAACCUUGAUUUCCCUAAUUUUCACAUGUUAAUCUACCCAUAAUCUAUGUAUUUAACUUAUGAUGCGUAGAAAUUACUUACCUCUUUGAUGAUGAUGGAAUCCCUCCUCAAAUGCUCUCAAAAAUCGCCUAAGGCCAAGUGGUAAAUGAGGGAAAUGGGCUAAGUCUCGGAAUAAAAGCACACUGCACCAGACGCAGAAGUCGCAUUUGCGACUCCAGGCUCGCAAUUGCAAGGUCGCAUUUGCGACGAAUGCACUGCAAAUGCGAAGCCCAACUUCCUCUGCCAUGGUCGCAUUUGCGACAAAAUUCUUCACAAAUGUGAAGAGGACAACAUCGCAAAAGAGAUGGCCCCCUCGCAAAUGCCAUCUCCCCUCAGCAGCCCCCAGGUUCACAAAUGUCUCGCAAAUGCGAUGUCGCAUUUGCGACCCAAACACCGCAAAUGCGGUCAUACAAGUACCAACAACAUCAAACCUUAUCCAAAUUCUAUUUUUGAUUUGUUAACCAUCCGGAAUCCACCUGAGGCCCCUGGAUCCCAACUAGUCCCAAAACACAUUACUGACUUGCUCGAGGCCUCAAAUCAUAUCGAACAACGCUAAAACCAUGAAUCACACUCCAAUUUAAGCUUAAUGAACUCUAAAAUUUUAAACUUCUACUUUCGGUGUUUAAACCUAUCAAAUCACGUCCGAUUGACCUCAAAUUUUGUAUGCAAGUUAUAUUUGCCAUUAUGGACCUACUCCAACUUCCGGAAUCGAAAUCCGACCCUGAUAUCAAAAAGUCCACUUCCGGUCAAACUUNNNNNNNNNNNNNNNNNNNNNNNNNAACUCCAGAAUCACUAUAUGGAGCUACUCCCAGAAUCGAAAUCCCAAACGAAUAUCGAUAACACUGAAAUGCACUUUAACCCAAACUUAUGAAAUUUCUUCCAAAAUGCUAACUUUCACAAUAGGCGUCAAAAUGUUCACGGGUCUUCCAAAAUCCGAUCCGGACAUACGCCCAAGUCCGAAAUCAUCAUACGAACCUGCUAGAACCUUUGAAUCCCGAUUUUGAGGUCGUUUACUCAAAAAUCCAAUCUUAGCUAUUUCUUUCAACUUAAAGCUUCCGAAAUGAGAAUUCUCUUUCCAAAUCAACUCCGAACUUCCCGGAAUUCAAUUCCGACUGUGCGCACAAGUCAUAAUACCUGAAGUGAAGCUGCUCAUGGCCUCAAACUGUUGAACGAUGUGCUAGAGCUCAAAACGACCGGUCGGGUCGUUACAGAUAGAGCCCACACAUCCAACAAAGUUUUCACAGUCAAUAUUAAUGAAAACAAGAAACAUAAAAUUUUAAAACUUGGAAAAUGUUAAGGAAUGCAGUUUAGGAUUGCAUUAUUAAUGUUGAGGAAGUACUACCUUCGUUCAAUAUUAUUUAUCUUUUAUGAUUUUUAUACAACCAUUCAGAGUCGGAUCUAGGAUUUUAGUAGGAUGGGUGCACUAUUAAGAAGAGAUAGAUCUAGAAUAUAAAUUUUACGGGUUCAUCCUUUAGUUCUUACUAUUGCGCACCCAUUAUGCAGUAGUAAUUUUCUUACAUUUAUAUCUAUUUUCCAUAUUGAAAAUAUUGAAAUUAGUUGAACUCAUUGACUAUAUGCUACAUCAUAUAUGGUUACUAAUUUUAAAAUACACAUUUUGUUUAACCAUAUAAGAUUUUACAACGACAAAAAAAGAAUAGAAAUUUUAAUAUGUGAAAAUUUUGAAAGAAUAAACCUAACAAUUAAAGAAAUAAAAAGAAAAAGUACUUAAUUAGUAUCCAAAAAGUAACACCAAACACGCUCAUCCCCAAUGGGCGUCUAGUUCUAGAAAAGAAAAGAAGUUUAAAAAUAAGAUUGACAUAAGAAUUGAACUCACAAUCUCACCUAGAGAGAUACACCUAAUAAUCAUCACAUCAUAUAAUACUUUGAGCAUGGUCCACACAUAUACAAUUAAAUAUAUUUGAAAAAAUAUAACAUUACUAUACAUGAUUUAGGGAUAGAAGUUUGGGUUCACGUGCCCCAUGGAACCCUCCCCCCUCCCCCGAUACACCCCUGCACCCAAUAAGAAAGAAAUUUAAUAUUUUAAUUAUAAGAUUAUUUAUCUAACUUGCCCUUAAUAUCAAAUGUCUCACUUAAUUAACGCUUCACUAAGUAGAGUAGUAAGGGUAAAUUUGGGAAAAUGUAAUAAAUACUUUUUGUUUUUCCUAAAUAAUAAUACUUUAGAACAAAUUCACCAAACGAUUAAUAUUUUGGGAUCGAAGGUAGUACAAUAAAAGAGUUUUGUGUAAAGCAUGAGAAAUUAUUCUUUGGUACUUGUACGGAAUGGAAGCCUAAGCUAGUAUCAGCAAACUUGAUCACACAAGAAAUCAUUAUAUAAUUUCUUCCCCAAGUUUAUUUUUUUAUUAGACCAUGCAAUACUUUUGCUAAAGUAGACCUUAAUUUUUUUUCUUUUCCUUUUAGGUUGUGGAGUAGGGGGGUGGGGGUGGGGUGGGGUUGGGAAUUGUUGAAAAAUAUAUUAACACUUCAUUAAGUGGAGCAAUAAGGGUAAAUUUUAAAAAAUAAAUAUUUUUUUCUAAAAUAUUAAAUACUUAAAACAAAUUUAGUUUGACAAAACGAUUAAUAUUUGAGAUCGAAAUACAUCAUACAAAGGUUUUAUGUAAAGUAUAGAGAGAUUAUUCUUUGGUACUUGUACGUAAUGUGGAGCGGGGGUGGGGGUGAGAAUUGUUGAAGAAUAAGUUUGACUUCUACUUGAAGAUACUUGAUACCAAACAAGUAUGCCUAGUUGCAUUGACAUUUGUAACCUCCAAACCCAAUGAGUUCAAAGCCUCCAAUAUCCUCGCAAAUCCACUUGCCUUGUGCUCACAAAAUACAUUUACAAAAAACUCAUUCCCGUCCAAUUGUGCUAUUUCCACUUAUGGCUACACAUCAAUAAAUAUAUGCAUUCACACCAUUGUAGACAUAAUUGAAAAUAAAAAUAAAAAUCUAUUUGUAAGGAGUUUAAUUUUUGUGCACUAACAAUGUGAAAAAAAUUACACUAUGAGGUCACCAGAAAGAAAACAUGAACAAGUUAGUAUAUGCUGAUAAUAAACAACAACAAUAAAUUCAGUGUGUGACGAUGACUCGUUUUCUCUCGGUGCACUUUAACUAACGUGCGUUGAUCAUGGGGAAGAGGGCACAUGUUCCAUCUCAGAAGGCUCGAAUGGUGAAGGAAACAACACCUAAGUACAAUCAAAAUCGAGGACAACGAGCUCAAAGCAUCCAAUUGAUAGAAACCCUAGGUGAACAGGAAAGCAAUGCAACAAUAAUUUCGGUAGGAGAAUCAGAGAAGGCGGGCUAAUUGAAAGCAGCUCAACAAUGGAGUGAGAUAGUACAGUCAGAAAAUAAGCAGCAAAGUCCUUCGAGUAGCGGGAAUAAGUCUUGGGUUGAUCAGGUGGAGUAGGAACUCGAGCAACCAACAAAACAUAGCUCGAUUUAGGAGAAUUUUAACAUCUCAAAACUAUCGAAUGUAUAAUUAAAACUUGAGUAUGUAGCUCUUAAAGUACAAGGCGAGACACCAAUUGUAGACAUUGUGUUAGAAGACAUUGCAUAUGAGAUUGAAUAUUGGAAGAAUGUCGUGGUAUAUUAUGUGUUGGGAGCUCGUCCCCCAUUUCCGGUACUCAAUGGGCAUAUACAGAGGAUCUGGGCUAAACAUGGGAUCAAUAAAAUUUCAAUGCUAAAAAAUGGGAUUGUACUAAUGAGGUUUGAUACAGAAUUGGGGGGAAAUGAAGCAAUUCAGGGGAAAAUCUAUUACUUUGGCAAUAAGCCAUUCAUUGUUAAAGCUUGGUACCUAAACAUGGAGUUUAUGAGAGAAGAAUUAUACAUUGUGCCGAUUUGUAUAAAGUUUCAUGGAUUGGAUUUCAAGUAUUGGAGUCCAAAAGUCCUAACAAGAUAAGUAGUCUGAUGGAAAGCCAUUGAUAGUAGACCAAAAUACAGAGUAGAAUAUAGGGCUCAAUUUUGCUCGGUUACUGAUAGAAGUGGGAAUAGAUACAGUAUUACCAGAAUAUUAGAAAUGAAAAAAGGAUCAGUAACAAAACGAAAGGUGAUCUAUGUCUGAAAGCCAACAUUAUAUAAAUUCUGCAAGAAAUAUGGUCACUCCGAAUCUGAAUAUUGAAAGAAGAUGGGGCCAAAAACAGAUGAGCAAGCAGGAAAGACAACACAAGAAGGAAUAGGGAGUGAUAAACCAAAUUCUGAAGAUCCAAAGGAGAAGAAGCAGAUUCAAAAAAGUGGUGAAGGACAAAAAAACUUCCCCUGAAAGAGAAAAUACAAGAGCAUGCAAACUCUAUAUGGAUAAUACCAUCAAGAAGGCAUGCAGGAAGGAUCCAAAACAAGCAUACACAACAUGUGACAAGUAGCAAUACCUUUCAGGUUCUCCAAAGGACUAAGCCGGAUUGUAGCGGUACAACAAAUAUAGGAGAUAAUUUAGGAGGCCAACCCAUUCCUCAUUCAGGGAAUGAUUACUAUACUCUGCCGGAAUGUUAGGGGCUCAAUGCCCCAAAUAAACAAAGGGAGGUCAAGUCCCUUUGUAAUGUUGAAAAAGUUAAUCUAGUAGGAUUGUUAAAGAUAAAAAUAAAAAGUAACAAGUACGAAAAAAUACCUAGUGGUAUGUUUAGUGGAUGGAAUAACAUAAAUAAUUUAGGAGAUCAUUACAAUGACAGAAUCUGGAUAAGUUAGAGGCCAGACUACUAUAAUAUUCAGCUUAAAAUGAGCGCAGCUCAAGUAAUUACAUGUGAGGUAACAUACACUCCUAUGCAAUUGAGGUUUUUGUUAUCAGUAGUGUAUGCACAUAAUACUAGAGAUGAGAGGAAGGAGCUAUGGGAGGCACAAGAGCAACAAAGCUCAACAUGUCAGCAACCUUGGUUAAUCUUAGGAGAUUUCAAUUUUAUUUUGAAUGUUGAAGAUAGAAUGAACGAAUCCAGUAACUUGGGUAGAAGUUGUGGAUUUUCACAAUCGUAUGGAUACAUGUGGUUAAUUGAGCUUCCUCAAUAAGGACAAAAGUACACUUGGAAUGAUAGAAGUGGUGAUGAUAUAAUUUUCUCUAAAAUAGAUUGGAUGUUCAUUAAUGAAGUUUUGCUAAAUAUUAUGCCUGCAUGUAGAGCAACCUUCCUACCUGAAGGCAUCAGUGAUCAUUUUCAACUAAUGUGAUGUUAAAUAAGGUUAAUUUCAGAAGGAAUAGAGCUUUCUAUUAUAGCAAUGUUUGGGCAUAACACCCCUUAUUUCUUGCUAAGGUCAGGAAAGUAUGGGAUGCACAAAUUUAUAGUUAUAGAAUAUAUCAACUAUUGCAGAAAUUAAAACAGUUGAAAAAGAAGAUGAAAGAGUUGAAUAAGAAAAAAUGCAACAACAUAGUGAAGGAAGCAGAUGAUGAUAAAGUAUCACUGAAGCAAGCUCAGACAUUAUUGCAAUGUGAUCCUUUAAAUGCACAACUCCAAGAGGAUGAGAAGAUUAAAUUUCAAAAGUUCAAGCAAUCUUCUUUCUUAGCAGCGAUGUUUUUGUGAAUAUAUAUGAUAGAAACUUAGGGUUUACCAAACUGUAUAGAAAAACUAUUUUUCUAUCAGUUUCCACAGUACACAUACAAUCAAGGAUAAGUAAAUGAUAUACCAGAGCUUUACGUGGAAAACUCCCAGCUCACGGGAUUAAAAACCACGACCUACACUCGUAGGAUUUCAACUUCACUACUGAGCAAACUUCAGAUUACAAACUAUUGUAUCCUACGAAUUAAAAUCUUAAUCCUUCACUCACUUGUAAUAACUCUAUUACAAGUCUCUUUGUAAUAACUCUAUUACAAAGCUCACAACUCGACUAACUCUAUCUAAGACACAAACACAACAUUUAUGGUUUUACAAAUGGUUUCAUACACAAUCCUUAUUGCUAAAGCUAAGUAAGAAUUACAAGUAGAUUGCUCUAACAAAGGUAUAACACAUCUAAGGACAUAUGGUAACACGGUGCUAGAAACUAGUCCUUCGUUGUGUUGUUCUUUUAUUCUUGAAGCCUUGAAGUCACUUGCAAGAUGACAGCACACUUGAGAGAGAAGCUUGAUGAUUUUCCGAGUGUUCAAGUGUGUGUUUUUCUCUUGCUUCAUGUUGAUAAUAUACAAGUGAUGUCACUUGGAUGAUGCAAGCAAUUUGUCCGAUACAAAACAUUCCUCAUAAAGAGACAGCUGCACUGUUUGCCCUGUUGCUUGUGUGUAGAGGAAAAACUGCAGCGAUUUUAUAGCUGUGGGGAGUUGACUGGUAUAGUCAGCUAGGGAACUGAUGUCCAUUUGUUCCCUCUAUCAUCUCAUUGACUCUUGUUGUUAGAACUUGUGCCCGACUUGAGAUUUAUUGUUCUUAAGCACUUUGAGGGUGUGUAACAGGUUCCCGAUUAGGUUCUUAUCAUUAAGUUUGUUAAAUCAUCAAAACAUAACAAGGCACAUAACUUAUCAAUUUCUCUCUUUUUCACGAUGACAAACUUAUAAUUGAAGUUCCCCAUGAAAACUAGAUCACCAUACAAUUUUCCUGUAUUCCCACUAAACUUGUUCGCCCUCUCAAUUAAUUUUCCCCUUUUUUGGCAUCAUAAAAAGAUUAAUCACAAGUAAUAAGCAAAAAAAAGUCCAACAUGGUUAACUCAUGACACAUGUGUGCACUCAAACAUGGCUAAAAAUAAAGCAUAAGAGUAUAGCAUGCAAAGUAAAAGGACGGGAUGCUCAUUAAUUUUAAAGAAAGGAGAACAGACAUGGGGUGUGUUUGGUAUGAAGGAAAACAUUUUCCGGAAAAUAUUUUCCAAUUUUUCCAUGUUUGGUUGGCUUAAAUGUUUUGGAAAACAUUUUCCUUAUCAAUUCAUUUUCCUCCAAUUGGAGGAAAAUAUUUUCCUUAUCAAGAGAAGGGACAACAUUUUCCAAAGCUUCUUAUCAACCUUCCCCACCCUCACCAACCCACCCCACCCCCUCUCCAAAAAAGGUUCUUUUUUUUCUUUCAAAUUUUAAUUUUUCCGUUACUACCCAUCCUACUAACCCUCCAUCCCCCGCAAAGAAAAUAUUUUUUUACCUUAUUUUUUUUUGUAAUUUCAAAUUUCUGUUUUUUCAUUUUUCUGCACCACCCACCCCACCCCAACCCCACCUCCCCCCAACCCCGGAAAAAAAAAUUUCAAUAUAUUUUUCAGUUUUAAUUUUUUUAUUUAUCAGUUUAAAGACUCAAAAUUUUACAAGUUCCAAAAUUAUGAGUUCGGAGGUUUAUGUGUUUGGAAGUUUACAGAUUUAGAGAUUAUAAAGUUUACGGAUUCGAAAUUCCGCGCUUUUGAAAGUUUAGCGAUUCGAAAGUUUAUGAAAUUUAUGGGUCUGGAAGGUUGUUGGUUUCAAAGUUUAUGGCUUCAUGCUUAUUAUAUUUAAAUUAUUUAUGAAUACUCUUCAGAAGUCAUUUUCCUUAAUUUGCGUGUCAAAUACCGAAAUAAGAUUACUACUUGUUUUUCAAGAAAACAUUUUCUUGAAAAACCUUUUCCAUGGAAAACAUUUUCCCUUAUACCAAACACACCCAUAGUAAUACCAUUUUUACACAAACAUUCACAAAAUAAAGCAACUUAAAAGUACCAUCCACAAAAACAACAAACCAAAAGGGACCAAGGUGGUACAUAUAACAUUUCUUGGACACUAGGAAGGGAACUGUUUUAAGGAGCAUAGAAGGGGGAGGCAGGUAUGAAGAAGCAAAGGUUCUGAGGAGAAUAUCCUUUCGAGCAUUUGCAAAUACUUUCUCGCAGCUGCUUCUUCAGGUCCUCGACCUGUUUCCUGAGAUUAGCAUUUUCCUUGGUCAGACGGGAAACCUCUGUGCCUUGUGCACUGAUGGAACCAGGUGCGUCCUAGGCCUGACUAAGAUACCUUUCAAGAAUGGAAUUCCGUGCCUUCAACCUCCUUAUAUCCUCAUUUGCAGCAUUCUGAACAUCAAUCAAUUGAGAGACAAUGGAAUUGCUGCCAAACCCUCAUUUCUUACCAAUACACUCACAUUCUUCUAAGGUGGUCUUUGAGAAGGCCUACUUGCGAGUUCCCACUAUUGCAUUUUUCAAAGGGACUUUGAAGAAGUUAUACACUUUAGUGAGUAAGAACCCGUAAGGCAGCCCAUGAUUUACCAUCCUUAAAGUCUGCCACUUUGUUCAUAUGCUUUAUCAUGAGACCAGGAAGAUUGAUAGUAGUGUAGGCAUCUAGUGCUUCCAUGUGGAAUAGGUCUGCUCUUGACGUAAUAGAAUGCCUUUUUGCACGUGGAAGCAAGACUUUGUUCACCAUAUCGAACAACAAUUAAUACACUGGAAGUAGGGCCUUCUUGUGCACACUUUCCCCUUGCUCCACAACAUCAUCCUUCAGAAUGGCAUUUCUAAAAUUGGGAGAAUAAGUCCCCUCAAUGGAUGAGAUCCUUCCAGCAGGCACUCCCAAAAUUCUUCCCAACACAGCCUCGUCCAUCAGAAAAUCUACUCCGUUGACCUUUAAACAGAUGUUGUCAUACACCAUAGGGCUUUCAUUGGUGAAUAAUUGUGUCCACUUUUGAAACUCACAAAUAUCAAGUAGUUGAUGCAUCCCUGUCAUGUCAAGAAUGUCAGGAGGAAAUGUUCUGCCCCAUAGUACCCUCUGUUUUCUCAGGUUAUGUCUGCCUUCAUCCUUGGCCACACUCACUUUGGCCUUCUUGGAGGAAUCAGGUUCCUCGUUGUCACCAGCCUUACUUUUCACAGUCUUUCUUAGACUAUUGUCUUUCUUUGCAGACUUCUCAAACAAUCUCUCACCAGACUUUUCAGACGCUUUUUCACUAGACUUUUCUACCUCAACAUUUUUCACUUCCAUAGUUUUCACGGAUGUCUCUCUAAUAGGUUUUGGAACCACAAAUUUUUUAGAGGACUUACGAAUUAAGGAACUAGGUUCCUCAUUCACCUAUUCAUGGUCAACAUCAACAACAAGUGUUGGAGGCACUUCCUUAUCAUUCACCAACUUUCCACCCUUCACCAACCUCUUUUUUUCUUCUCUUCUUUGUUUUUCUUCGGAACUGAUUCAAGGGAUUCCUUAUUUUGCAACCUAGUAGUAGGUCUUUUAAGAGUGGGAUCUUUGGGAGUUGACCUUCUACUCCUACCCGCAAUGAAGCUUGCUACAGAUACAUUGUCAGUCCUCCUCACUAUUUUCAUUUUAUUCUUCAGAAAGAGAUCUUAUCUCAGGAAAGACAAUAGUUAACGGCUCAGCAUUGAAGUGAGGAGAAGGAGCAUGAUCAGUACUGACCUGGGGCUCUUUUUAGGAGCAGGGAGUUUCAUCCCAAGUAAGAGCAGAGGGGUACUCUUGGGCUGAGGGAUCAAGUCCCUAAUUUAUUUCCCCAAUAGUAAUGACAGGUGCCAGAUUUUCAAGGGGCACCAGUUUCCUACCCUCCUCCUGAUGACCUUCACCUUCCCCCUGAGACCCAAUGGUCUCAUUAAUAUCCUCAUAACCACCAAUAAAAUCUCCCUCUACAACGAUUAGUAACAUGUUCUCAAUGGCUUCUUAUUCAUUCACCCCCAAAGCAGAGUCAGGCGAUAUAAGAGAAACAUUACCUAUAGGAUUGUCAAUAUUCAAAUCAAAGCUUGGAACGAGCGGUGCUGAGUCUUCACUACUGUGAACGACAUAUUGUUGGGCUUCAGGACUCUCCACAACUUUCUGACUAGAAAAUCCUUACCUUCGUCUUCGUCUAUUAUUUUGCCUUCUGCCAUUUUUUCGGUGAGUUAGAAUGAGAGGUCACAACAAUAAAUCUUUUGGGGUUCUGAGUCUUACGACUGCGAUGAGAACCAAAACUCGAUUGGGUUAGAGAGGAAGUAGUAGGUGUUUGUUUGUCUAGUAGGGGGUUUGAUAGGGUGAAAAAGGGGACUCAAACUCUCGCUCCUGUGCUUCAUGAGACGAAGACACAGUGGGGACUACAGUAGAAAUAUUUGAAACUUCUUAAUUUUGAGACAUAGUGGAGAUUUGCAGUAAAGAAACGAGAAGUAGAGUGUUUCUUUGAGAGAGAAAAGAGAAUUUUUGGCUUUGAUGAGGAUAGUGAGGAAAGCGACAGUGUUUGGGUUUAUUUAGAGAAAGUAAGGGAUCGGUUACAAACGAGUAUGGAUUGUUGAGUAGACGGAUCGUUUAAUAACGGGUAUGACGUUUGAGUUCUAAAGAGAUGAGAGAGAGAGACUAAAUAUUUUAAUGACAUGGCACUUUUUAUAGCCAUUUAAAAAUGUGCAUGAGAGUAUAAAGGAACUGCUAACCUGAGUCUAGGGAACCAGGUUCCCUGACUUAGUUUUGUAAGUGUGAGCCUCAUCCUUUUACCAAGAUGCAAUUUCAUUAGCUGCUUGUUAGCUCUGUAAUUUUUAUGUGUGUCUGCCUGUCACAGUAUACAAAUGAGUUAAA